Molecule: long non-coding RNA, 47688 nt
Filed under: Setaria viridis
Lineage: Eukaryota; Viridiplantae; Streptophyta; Magnoliopsida; Poales; Poaceae
Description: long non-coding RNA (SVIR_LNC001645)
Source: RNAcentral
UUUUUUUUUAGUGGGGCAAGAUGCAUAGACCAACAGCAUCUCCAAACCAAGAUAAGAUUUGGCAUGAAAGGAACUUACUCGGGAUACUCGCAUACCUCCCCCACACUUGGAGUUUGCAUUGCUGGGCAACGCAACUCAAGUGUGUGGAGUUUAAGAUUUCUUUCAUAAAUGUUCCCUUACCAAGACUUACUAAGGUGUUGUAGUCGGUGUAGCUCCCAUGUUGUUAGUUGUCACCUAUCCAUCAUUCUUUUUAAUCUCCACCUGAAAUGGUUAGCGACAAAAAAUACCCAAAGGACAACUUCAUCCUAGAAACAUGCUCUUGCUUUUUAUUCAAAGGGAAAAGUCUAUGAUAAUUGGGCUAUCUCUCGGUACUGCUUUGUUUAUGGUCACAAGCUUGACCAUGGGAACUUCCUCUUGCAGCUAUCAUUGGUGAUGUCGUUCCCCUCUCACCACCAAUUGUUGAUGUGUUAUUGAAGCUUUAGCUGCAAGGUCAGCGCCAUAGUGCAUCCAUGAAAUUUGCAAUGUUUAUGAUAAACAUAUGCAUCUAUAACCAACCUUCUAAACUUUUUGCAAGAGAGGACCUUAAGGUGGUUGUAGUCCUCGUGUGUGCGCAUGGCACAAAGCAUGGCUGACUCUGUAAAGGCAUUAAACGAGAAUGGUUCUUGUGGUAUUUCAAGAAUGAAGCUCCUAUGCUCAUCUAAGGAAUCCUUUCCUUCAGGCUCCAGAGUCAACGUCUCACAAAAUUCCAUGGCCCAUGGAUUCUCCAUCUCAAGAGAUUCAUCGGGGAAGAUAUAUCAAUGUUGAUUCUUCAUCGUGGUUGAAAACAACAUGAUACGGGCCAACAGGAAGAGGUUCAAACUCGAUUGAGGGUGAUGGUGAUCGUUCGUCUUCACAAAGGUGAAGAGUUUCAUUCAAGUCGCACUCUUUGAGGGCGGCAUAUUCUAUGAACUCAAAGAGAACGGGCUCGGAUGAGACCAACGGAGAUGCAUGCAUCACCGUCUUGAGCGAGUUUUGCUCAGGAAGAGGCUUUGCCAUAGGAUUUUCUAAACAAGAGGUAGUCGUGGUGGAAGCAGUUUCCCUAAGCUUUCCAUCAAGGAUCCAUUGAGAUGCACCAUCUAGGUGGGGGUUUUCUAAUGGGUAGCCUAUGAGAAGAUCAAAAUCGAGGAUAUCAAAGAUGUGGAAAUCUAGGUUGACCUCGAUUUUUUCUAUUGUGAGCGGCACGGCACUUGCGACCCCCGACAUUCAAGGAUGCGUCCCAAGGACAACUUUUGAGGAGCUUGUCGGAUGGUCUUAGCAGAAUGUUGCCCAAAAGGGUGUACGUUAUGUGCCAUGGCAUGAUAUUGGCCUCCAUGAUGGGGUUAAGAUGGGCUUCUACGGUAAUUCCCCUUAUAGAACAAGGAAUGAUCAUGGAGGGUGAACUAAUCCAAAUUGCUUCGGAAAAGUGUCUUGCUCCAUACGAUCAUUCCUCCUUCAUGUCCGCCUCGAGAAAGGCUUCAUUGGGAGGAUUGGGAGGAGAAUGGAGGUACCGUAGGCUUAGGGGAAGGUUAUGUCAAGGGAUUUUUUAAUUGAGAGAUAUGGACAGAAGAAGGUUCCUUCCCUAAUUGGACAUCAAAGAAAUUGUUGAAGCAAAAUCUGGACUUCAGGCUUCUGCGUUGAACAACACGGAGGACCUGGGAGAUCUACUUAACUCCAGUGCAGGCUCCAAAUCAGCUCGCGAGUGGUGCAACACGUGCCAAUCAAUUUAACCUGAAAUGUAAUCAUGUGGUGUAAAUAAAUAAAGCAUUAAUGGCAUGUGCCAUCGACUAUAUGAGCCAACGGGCCAAGAUAAAGCAUUAUAAAACAACAGCUAUAAAAGGAGCCCUUCCUAACCAUGCGCACACCAAAUAGACUAACAGAUCUAGUCAAUAUCUUGAUAAGUGUAAUUGAACUUAGAUAAGGUAACACGAAUGAGAGGGCAUUGACAUCAAUCUAUUAACCUAAGAGAUUAGAACAUAGUAGCAAGGACCUCUUACCUACCGCUUACGAGCUAAUUAAGCUAAUGGAAUCCUAAUCAAUGUCAUGACUAUGUAAUUGGACUUAGACAAGGUAACAUGGUGAGAGGGUAUUAACUUUGGCCCACUAACUUAAUCAGACAAGCUCACGGCAGCAAGGCCUCGUACACGCCGCUAUCGGUUCAAUGACAUCAUCAUGCUUCCAUGAGAUAUGGAUGAUACCUAGCCGAAGCAUCGGCUCUCAACAGUAGUGUGCUGACAUAAAAGGCCUAACGGUUAGCAACACAAGGUGCAAGGGUAAAAAUCUACCUGAUCUAGCAUAUAUAAAGUAGUAAAAGCAUGCAAGAUCUAACCAGUCAAUACAAUCUGAUAACUAUGAAUGUUUAAACAAGGCAAGGGAGCCAAUAAAGACAACCUAACAAGAUCUAAGCCGUUCGAUAACUGUGAGCAACCGUCGAAGACAAGCAAAAUAUUGGACAAAGUCUAGAAAGUUCUACUUGCAAUCUAAGAUAACUCGAUAACUAGCCACACAACUGAAUAUCAGAAUAUAAGACUUAACUUAGAAAGUUCUGAUAGAGGCCGUCAUAAUGACCAAGUGACGGUACUUACAAGCUCGCCUGAGAUCGAAGCCGAUGCAGCCGUGCGCGUAGGAAGGAACUCGUCGAAACUACUCUACUCCUACUCCUAAGGUUUUGGUGGUGUGGUGCUGAAAGUUUGUAUUGAUUGAUGAUUAUUCAUUACAAAUCUCAUGGGCUUAUAUUUAUACCUGGAGCAGGUUAAAAUCCUAGUCGAUUACGACAUGACUAUUACAGCUAUUUCUAAAAACUACCUAAGAUAAGUCUCCACGCUUUACCUUAUUUGGUGGAGUCGAUUUCACUUCAGAUCGGGCUUUCUCUAGUCUUCUAUCAGCUUCUAGAACCCUGGUCUCCCACAGCUGAUCUUGGUCAACGUGAAGUCACCAACGAUCUCUUUCUCUCUCCUUCAUCCGCUAUCAGAACCUUAUCCAUAGUGCGUGACUCUGGCCAAAAAUCGGUGUCAACAGAAAUUCGAGGUGUUUCUAUGGUGUCUAUAUGGAUCUUCCUCGAAUUGGAGAGGGAACUUCGGAGGUUGAAUCUCUUCUCCCUCCAAUGUUCUUGGUUCGGGUGAGGGUUCUAUGGCUGAAUCUGAUGAUGUGGAAGGUGAAGGAUCGGAUUCGGUUCCUAGAAGAUUCUCAUGGCUUGACUUACGCUCUUCUCGGAGGGGUAUGGACUCGACUAUGAAUGAGGUGUUCUCAGUGAAAUGAUCUAGGAUUUUCCUACCUUCAGCCAGAGUCUUAUGGAGAAAUGACCCUCCGGCGAUAAUGUUGAUAUAAUAGUCGGAAUCCCUAUCGAGACCCAUAUAGAAGUUUUGAAGCAACGUGUGGUCAGGUAUCAAUAGGGCAGGGCAUGAUUUCACUAAGAGCAAAAAUCUAGCCCAAGUCGCGCCUAUGGAUUCCUUCUCAUUCUGCUGAAAGCAGAGGAUAUCCACUCGUAGAGAGGCGAGAUGGGACAAGGGGAAGAAUGCGAUAGAGAAUUUUUCUCUAAGGUCGUCCCAAUUGCUGUUCGCACUUCCUACGGUAUACGUGUACCAUUGCUUAGCCUUCCCUAUAAGAGACAAGGGAAACAACUUCCACUUGAGGAUAUAUUGUGUCAUUCCUGCAAUGGUGAAGUAUGAACACAGAUGCUCGAACUCACGCAGAUGGUGGUAUGGGUUCUUGCUAUCCAACCCAGAGAAGGAAAGGUUCCGAACCUUAGCAAUUAUGUUAGGGUAGAGUUCAUAGCCAGAUGUAAGUUUUGGUUGCACAGAGGGUGGUGGCUCUAAGAACUCUCCCUUUGGGGUAGAGAGGUUUUGAAAGGAUGGCUUCUCCAUGGGUAGCGGGGGCAAAGGUAGAAGGAAAGAAAGCUAAAAAGAUACGAGGACGACUAGGUACUAAAAAGAUACAGCAACCAUUCCCCAGCAACAGCGCCAGAAAGCUUGUUGGUAUAAUUAAUGACUAUGAAUAAAUCCAUAAGUGCACGGAUACCGUUGUAGCUUUCACCUCAGAGUAUUCCAAGGGUAUCAAACCCAAGGGAACGUGUGUGUACUAACUCCUAGUUUAAUCGGUCCAAGGACACACCAAGAUAGGUGACGAAGGUAGAGAAGAUUCCUAAGGAUAACACUAUACGUGAGUUAAAGAUCGAUCUCUCGGGUUAGAAUACUCGCUUCGGGCACCAGCUUACCCUGAAUGAGUCAGGCGCCUCCUCCUAACAACUCCACCAUAUAUUCAAACGUGGAGGAUUACAAAGGACCAAUAAGGCUAUCACCACCUACGGCCUACAUUGCGACCCGUGGGAUAUAAGGUAAAUGAAGGAUAACCCUUAGUCUAGACACCACGUCUACGCUACUAUUUACUACUGCAGUCUAACUAUGUCUGGCACCCCGUAGAAGGCUACAGCACUCUAUAUAAAUAUAGAGAAACAAACCCGUGAGUAAGAGAACUGAUCUCACUCAGAUAUAGAUACUACUAAUGUAUACUGUAUAAAGGUCUAGAGACAUACAUGAGAGCAUACAAGCCUAUACUAUCAUAGUAAGGGUAUAUGACUAGCAUACGAGUAUAUAAGCCAAGCAUAUCACCAUAGCAAGGAUAUAAGACUACUCAUGCACAUAAGAACCAAGUAUAACAAUAUAAGAAGUUAUCACGAAUACGAACUUACUUCACUCAAAGGAAGCCAACAUCCAUAGAGGUACAAGCUGAGAGGAGAGUGCCGACACCUCAGCACUCCUCCCAAACUACCCCUCACUCUCUCCCUAUUCUAACCACAAGCUAGGCAAGGCUCCGCCUUUGCAAUGAGGCUCUAAUUCUCUCUUGGAUGGUGUGCUCUCAAGUGAGGCCCCCCUCUACUAUUUAUAGAGUGGAUGUGCCUUGGGAGAGUGGAGAUGCUCCAAGCAUCUCAAGGGAAUAUUCUCCUCAAACUCCUCUCCUUGUGCCACCUAGCAGGAUUCGAGGCUUUGAGGCGGUAACUCUUGGUGAAACGAUCAUAACCGCCUUUAGGAAGUCAGCAAGAGCCACCACGUGGAAGCUGAGCAUGAGAGGGGUUAGGGACAGUUUGGCCGAACCUCGAGCAUCGCCUCUCGCGCUGCCUUUCACCUGGGACGCUGCCUGGUGGGCCCUCAAGUUGGUCUAGGGUGCACGCGCCAAGUUAAGGCGGUUUGCCCCCUAAUGUGGGCUCAUGGAUCCGUGUGCUCUCUCCUGAUUGGCUGGAGUUCUGUUUCUUUGCGUUUUUGGUGUGUUUCCUCCUCUUUUCUAAGGAUAAGUGACCUUCAUACAAAUAUUCACCAACACUUAUGAAAUUGAUUAGUAAUAAACCCCUACCACUAGGUUGAUGAUCAUCUUUCCGGUAUUUAUGCAGGAGUUGACAACCUAGAAUUGGUACUUAAGAGCUGUCAGCAAUGUACCUGUUCAAGAAAUAUAGUUCAACUGGAUGGCACCAAGACAGGCCAUCCCGAUGGUUUCAAUUGCCGCAUGGGGUCAAGUAGCACCAAAUAGGGUAACUUUUGAAAGGACCGUCGUGGAGGCCUGCCUACAACAGCUUAAGGAUCAUGGGUAAUUUGUGCAAGACUUCUCAUAUUUUCAAAUAAAGGCGCUCGAGGAGGGAGAAAGCAAUGUGAUUAUGACUAUUGAGAGGCUUUGUUGGCUGAAUCAACAUGACAUGGAAUGGAACAUUUUUUUAUCAAUCUAAUCAUUCUUUUGUCUUUAUUAGUUAUGUUACAUCUUUUAACUUUCAUCACGUUAUUCUCAUCUUUUAGGAUCUCUUUGUAAUACCAUUGCGUCAAUAAGCUUUUAUGUGAUUUUGGCUCAAGUCUUGGAUGUGUUGAAUUAUAGUUACCAAGAUAGAAAUCCGAUAUGCACUAGAGAUUUCAAGCUCCAGACCCAUUUCACUUUUUACAUGCCAUAUCAAUUUACCCUCUCCAUUGUUCGAGAUUUAUAGUAGUGUAUGCAUGUGACCGUCCAUGUGAAGCGAUAGAGAGUGCACUAAUUCAUGCUCUAGCUUAUAUUGAUGAAAUUCUAGGCUUUAUGAUUGGAGACUUAAACUAUAUUGCAUAUCUAAAAAAGCGAAGCGGAGUAUGAAAUAUGUAACAUGCAUGGAUGUAUUCUUAUGGAUUUUGAACUUGUUCUCUCUAAGACCUUAAGUAUUGAUGUACGAACUUUCAUUGUGAGACAAGUUAUAUAUAUUUUAUUGCAUAUACAUGUUCUUUAAGUGUUGGAUCUGAAUGGGCUGAUACAUGGGAGAACCAUAUUUUAAAAUUUUGACGUAAAAAUAGUACAAAAUUUUGGCAGAAAUGACAUUUCCAGGAGCGGGGAACGCCAUCACCCGCCUCUGGAAAACAGUUUGCAGAAGCGGGUCAUGGCGUCACCCGCCUCUGAAGAUACCAUUUCCAGAGGUGGGUGAUAACAUCACCUGCCCUUGGAAACGGCUUUAUAGGGGUGGGCCUGUUAUCCGCUCCCGCAAACAGCUAUUUGUAGCUAUGAAAAUUAGGAGUGGGUAGCGCGUCUGCCACUACAAAUGCCGUUUCAACCACCACUAGAAACCGUUUUUUAUAGAGGUAUCCUUUUCAAGGAAAAAGCUAUAUUGAUACGUCUAACACAUAGUAAUGCCUGUUCGCUUUAGCUUAUCAGCCAGCUUAUUAGACACCGAAUAAUAUUUUUCUCUCACAACAAAUCAGCCGUUUCAGCUUUUCAGCCGACUCCAUCCGAACGACAUGCAUCUGCACAGGCGGCAAAUAUAAAAGCUAGCUGCUGCGUCAAAGAUAGAUAUCCAGUCGAACACGCAUGCACUUGGGAGACACAAACGACCGAUGAUGGAUCGAUUGAUGCGACCAAUAUACUCCAAUCCUGAGUGGAAUACACAUGCAUAGUACACACACGAUGGAUCGGAGCUGUACGUCGGAGCAAAAAUGGAGCAACACGAAACGUCGAAACCAGCAUGUAGCGUUGCGAAUCCCCUGAUGGAUCGACGAAAGGAGAAAAAAAGAUCAACACUAAAUCAAAUGCAAAUCUAAGCCCAACAUCACUCAGGGUCAUCAGGAGAAUAUUCCGUACUGCUUCAUUGCGCCGCCCAGUUAUGGAUGGAUGACGUGUCAUGCAUCCUGCCUCACAUUUACCAGACCAAAUCCAAGAGAGAAUAUCGUCUAUCGCGGCUAGCCCGCAUAUAUUAUAUAAUAAUAAUGUAACCCAGCAGUUUUUCUUUGUUCGAGCUGAUCCCCAUGGAACAAGAGAUAGAUAUAUAUGUGUGUUACUUCAGUGCUUAGCAUGAAACAAACCGAGGUUUAUUGGAGGCAUUAUCUGACAGAAACAACCGUCAAAAUUGAUGUGCCUUUUGGAUAGAUUUGUAGUUCUUCUACCAGUACAACAAGUGAUCGUCCAAUUUUACUUAGCUUUUGUGCCUUGUAGAUAUAUGAACAGGAUAAAUGUUGAGCGCGCAGUAUUUAUUAUUUCCGUCACUGACAAGUAUUUGUCUUAACUCCACAGUUUCAAAUUUUAGUUACAAAUCAGUUUUUAUCUGUUAAAUUUGACAAUGUGAAAAUGGCACGAGUAAAUUCAUACCGAAAUGUAGUCUCACAAUAGUAUACUUUUUUUAUGUUUCAUAAAUGCUUCAAAAAUAAGUAGUAAAAUUUGUACUUACAGCAUCUCCAUCGACUCUCAAUAAUCCUUGGGGGAGUUGAUUUUGCAGUCUCCCAAUAAAACCUUCCGAAUAACCAAUUCUCCAGAUCUUGCUGGAGGGGAGCGGGUAGGCGGCGACCAGGGGUGGAGGCGGGCAUGUGAAAGAACGCGGGGGAGGAGAACCUUAAGGGGAAAAAGAUGGGCGCGAACAGAACCGGUCGUUUUCGUGAGGACCAAUUUUUCCCUCUAUUUGAGGAGAGUUGAGAGCAAUUAUUGGGAUGAGCAAAAAAAAAUAUCAGGAAAAGAGAGGUGUAUUGGGAUACUGCUGGAGCAAGUUUAUUCCGGAAGUUUUUUUGGAAAAAGGAAGACUACUGGAGAUGCUCUUAGAAAGUUGUGUCUAUGCCCAAAAUAUCUCUUAUCUGUGAUUGGUGGUAGUAUUCUACGUUAAUUAUAGGACCAUGAGUGUCCAUUAAUACUAAUACUAGUACAUACAUCUUCAAUUACAAAAUAUAGAUCAUUUUAGUUUUCUCCUAAUUCAAAUUCCUUAAAAUUUACCAAGUUUAUAAAAAAUAUAUUAACCUUUGCAAUAUCAAAUUCGCUAAGACAUAUUUUAUGGUGGAUCUAGUGCAACUAAUUUGAUGUUAUAGUUUUUGGUGCAUUUUUGUAUAAACUUAGCUAAAGAUCAAAAAUUUUAGUUUAGGACAAGACUAAAACGAACUACACUACACUUUGAAAUAGCUGGAGCAGAUCCAUUUCAUAUGAAAACUGAGUAUAGCUUAGUAGUUAGAACCUACCCAUCUUCGUUAGAAUCCUCAACAUGGCACAGGUGGUUGUAUUUUUCCUAAAUUUAUUCUAUGAUUUAAUAGUCUAUGCUCUCAGUAGUAGUCUCGUGACCGUCGACAACUAGAUACCUAUUAUAACUUUGUCAAUCUCAAGAUCUGCCGGCUCAAUCUCUCGGAGGUGUUUAUAGAGGUAGAGUUUGCAUAUACAUGUUCGUGUGUAUAUGAGUAUCUCUAUGAAUGUACGUAUUAAAAGAAAAUGCUAUAAGAAAUUAGUAGAAAAUAAAUAUUUUUCGAUUUGCUGGAGGAAGAGAUAAAAAAUAAAUAAAAGUAUAAAGAAAAGUCAACUGUAGGUGUGGCUUGUCUAAUGGAGGACGGGGACUUUGCUAGGACUGAUUCCAACAGUAUCGGACAGUGAGAGGGAGAAGAUGAGAGAGAAGAGAACCAACAAAUGGGCUCUCGAGCUGGUGGGUUCGGUCAACGCACGGACGAUAUACAAAUGCAAUGCGUUUUUAUUGCAUCGUACAUCGAUACAUGCAUACAUCCCGAUGCCAAAAAUACAUACUCUAAUUUAUACCCGCUCCGUUAUAAAUUGUAAGUUAUUUUAACUUCUUUAGAUUUAUAGAUAUUAUUACCUAACCAGACAUACAAACAAUCUAGAAAAACUAAAGACAAACAAUCUAGAAAAACUAAAGACAACAUACGAACAGUGAGUACUUUAUUAAUUUCCUACCGCGCGCUGGAGCUGAUAAAUAACAGAAAAAUCAGCGAUUGCCUCGUCCUCGUAGCGAUCUCCUUCCCGUCGUCCCUUCUCCGUCGCCUCCUCGCCUCCCAUCAAUCCCUGAUGAGCGCAGUCCCCUCCCUAUAAAUACAAGCUCCAUUCCUCCUCCUCCUCCUCCAUUGCUUCGUUCUCAUCACUGCACAAGCUCGGCGCGCCAUAGCCAAUCUCUAUCCGAUCCUAGAGCUAAGCUAGCUUGUUGCGUGACUCGAUUCAUCCGAUCCCACUGUGAACUUGAGCAGGGCAGACACCACUUAUCUCGUCGAUCGGAUUCACGUAUAGUAGUAAUACAUGGCAAUCCUCGACCUCAACCAGGCCAUGAAUAACAAUAAUACCACCGCUCCUCCUUGCCAUACCCAUGCGGCUCCAGCUUCCGAUCAGCGCCUCCGUCAAGCAGAGUGGAAGGCCGGCGACGACGCCGACAACCCCAACCCCCGCCACCAGGCCGACGCAGAGGAGGAGGAAGAAGAGGAGGAGCUGCUCCUCAAGGGCGUGCGGCACCUGUGCGAGCGCGGCGGCAUUACGAGGCUGCCGGCCCGCUACGUCCUCCCGCCGUCCGACCGCCCAGCGCCGCCGGACCACCACCAGCGCACCAGCGGCCUGACGAUCCCCGUCAUCGACCUCGCCCGCCUCCGCUCGCCCGGCGCGGGGCGCGCGGCGGCGCUGGUGGAGCUGGACGCGGCGUGCCGGGACUACGGCUUCUUCCAAGUCGUCGGCCACGGCGUCGGCGUCGGCGGCGGGGCGAUGCUAGACGUGGCGCGGCGGUUCUUCGAGCUGCCCUUCGGCGAGCGCGCGCGCCACAUGUCCCCCGACAUCCGCGCCCCCGUGCGGUACGGCACCAGCUUCAACCAGCUCAACGACGGCGUCCUCUGCUGGCGGGACUUCCUCAAGCUCGUCUGCGACGACCUCGAUGGCGUCGUCCCGUCCUGGCCGGACGCGCCCGCCGACCUCAGGUGCGCUGAUUCUUCGAUCCGAUGCAAUUUCUUUCCGGUGGUUUCUCUUUUGGUUUUACCCGCUUGCUAGUUCAUCUCGUUCAUGCCUGCGCAUAUAUGUGGGUCCCUUUCUGAUAACAUCUCAAGCCAGGAAGGAAACAAAGUGAAAGUAGCAUACAUGCAGUGGAAGGAAUCAGAUAAUCCUUCAGUGAGCGAAGGGGGACUCAUCUAGAGUUGUACGUUGAAGUGGACAUGUAUAUGUGCAUCCCCCGCGGAGCAGAGCACAGGACAAAGCUCUUGCUGAUGCGACUGCAUGCCCCCAAAUGUUAGAGGCCCACCAGCGCUGCCGCAAAAUAAAAUAGGGGGAAAAAGGAAUAAAUCUGCGCUGCCCUUUUUGCCCGCAUCAAAUACGCAUAGUCGCAUACGCAUGCAUCCACGAAUCCGACGUGUCCACCUAGCUACUUGUCGAGUGUCGACUACACUGGCUCAUAUACAUGUAUAUAUGCGUAUAUGGCAACCGCAGGGAGGUGGUGUCGGCGUACGCGCGGUCGUGCCGGCGGCUGUUCAGGGAGCUGAUGGAGGCGGCGCUGGAGGCGAUCGGGAUCGGCGGCCCCGGCGCCGGCGAGGUGCUGGCGGGCUGCGACGCCGGGUCGCAGAUGCUGAUGGUGAACUGCUUCCCGGCGUGCCCGGAGCCGGACCUCACGCUGGGGAUGCCGCCGCACUCCGACUACGGAUUCCUCACCGUCCUCCUGCAGGACCAGGUGAACGGCCUCGAGGUCCGCCACGCCGACUCGUGGGUCCUCGUCGACCCGAUCCCCGGAUCGCUCGUCGUCAACGUCGGAGACCACUUCGAGGUAUUGUAUACUUGUGCCAAUAACGCAACUCUUCUGGUAUUUAAAAAAGACGCGCACGUACGUACACAGAGUUGCGUCUUGUUGCGUGGAUUGGAAACCAACAAUAAUAAUCAUGCAUGUUUCUUUUUUGUCUCCUGUUUUAUUUUAUAUUAUAUACAGAAACAAAUGAAUGCUAUAUAUAAUAUGAUUGAGCUAGCGGUCAAAUCUCCUAGCAAAUGGUGGUCCGAUACCGACGAACAUAUCGAUCGGUACGCCAAUCUGGCUGGCAUAUUUAGUUAAGAUUGCGAGAUAGUACACUGUUUAACUAACAGUUCCAAGAUGCUGGCUUUAUGGAACUAUACAGAUCGAUGCGAUAAGAAGCUAAUAAGCUAGUGUAUAUGCACGAUGCAGAUGUACAGCAACGGGCGUUACAAGAGCGUGCUGCACCGGGUCCGCGUGAACUCGGCGCGGUCGCGCAUCUCUGUGGCGUCACUGCACAGCCUGCCGCCGGCGAGGGUCAUCGGGCCGGCGCCAGAGCUGGUGGACGACGACAAGAACCCGAGGAGGUACAUGGACACGGACCUCGCCACCUUUCUCGACUACCUUAGCUCGGCCGAGGGCAAGCACAAGUCCUUCCUCCAGACCAGGAGGCUCCUCACCAGCUGACCAUGCACGGGCGGGCCCACAGGCAGCCACCCGCUUGAACCACCUGGAUCCGUCCUAACUGUUAAGCAUAUGAUUACGUACGACGUGGGUCCCACCAGUCCGUGUCUGUCGUUUUGGUCAGCAGCAGGAGAAAAGUCAGCACGUAUAGUACCUGCGGUUGUGGACCAAGUUGACCGGUCAAACCCGUAGCCCGACUGGUCCCAUCUACUGCUGCUGCAUGCUGUCUACCCUAGCUAGCUAAUAAGCUAUGCUACUUUAUUUUCAGCUAAAAGAAAAAAAUAUUAUCAGGAUCGAGAAGCUUUAUUUGUCUAUAUGCUGUGUCAAAGCAAAAGGCACAGGAUCCAUACGGUAUAGGAUACCCGUGCAUGGAGAUCCGUGCUGCAUAUGUAAUCAGAGGAGCGGGCAGGGACCAAAAGCUAGGAAGCUUCGUCACCUGAACUGGAACCAGACUGAGCAUCAAGCAUUGACGGCUAAUAAGGAUCGAGGAGGGUCAACCAAACUACAUUGCGAACGUGUAUAAAAAAAAAUUCAUCCUCCACUACUAUAAUAGAUCAUCUCGAGUCUGCCGGAUUCUAACCCUUAUCGAUACGGUAAAGUAUAGUAGACGACAAUAAUCUAAUGACCCGCAAAUGUGCCGACUGUGUUGGAUACUGAAAACGUCAUUAUCAGCAGUAUCGGUGCUUCUCAACUACUGCACGGAUAAUAUAGUAUCCCUGCCGGUUGAGCCUUUGUGUUGGUCUGGAUACCACUUGGAGACGACGAACAAAAGUGCAAUUCACCGGCUUAUCUAGCUAGUUAUCGGUAGCAAACUCAAUUCCAAUACUUGUUCGAAGGGUGUGUUGGGUUCUGAGACGAGGUGGGAUGGAACGAUUCCACUCCGGUUUUGGGAGAUGAGGCGGUUCCGUUUAGUAUUCGAUUGAAGUGGGAUAGGUUCAUAUUCAUUUCUUGUUUGUUAGGUGUUGAGAUUGGUGGGAUUGAUGGUGUUUUUGACACCGUUAGCAACAGUGUUUAGUGGACUACAUCUAUUAUUUAAGGUCCCAAAUGUCAUCCUCUAUAUUUCUUUUUCUUUUUGUCUUUUCAUUUUUCCUUUUAUCUUCUUCUAUCAGCAUCCAUGGUUGCCCCGGCAUCCUCCUCCACCCCAGCGUCCUCUUCCCCCGUCGGUUGCCUCCUUGCACGCUUCCUAUGCCCCUGACCCCGUCGACCUCCCUUCCCAUUAGUUCCCUCCACCCCAGCCACACCCCACAUCCAACUGUGCUGACAGCCCGUUGGAGUAGGCACGCACAUCGACAACACACUGAAGCCAGCUUGACGCGCCACCCCAUUGGAGCUGGCUCAACCACCGCUUGCAGCGCCGUAGCACCGCCUGCUUGCCUUUGAUAGGGCCGCCGCUCGCUCGUCAUCGGCUAGUCUCCUCCGUGCCACCCUGCAUCGCUAGGCCUUUCCCUCGCACACAGAUGGAGAAGACGGAGCUGAGACGGGGCAAAGUGGGACGGUCCCUGUCCGCUCGUUUCAAGUGGAUGGUCCCAUCCUGCAACUGGAGAGAAUAUUCCCCUCCAGGAAUGGAUCCAUCCUACCUGUCCUUCAACCCAACACUACAUGAAACAGGGUGGACCCGUCCAGUCCCUCAACAUCCGCCGAACCAAAUACACCCUAAAUGAAUAACAUAAAACAUAUCAUAUUCAUCUACAUAAAGAUAGUUUAUGUAGUUCUUUUCACGUGCAAAUUUAUCUAUACCCCUCACAAUAGUCCCACUUUUACCAGAUAAGGGGUGAUAGAUUGUCUUACUACACUACCAUGUAAAAUUAUAUGUUCUAAAUGUUUCCUCCACUUUGGAGCACCUCCACCAAUUAUAGGAAGGAACUUCAGCAGCCUUGUCCUAAUUUAUUUUUUUGGGCGGCCUUUGUAAAUACAUUACCUAUAUGGAGUUUUCAAAACUCGAACAUACUUUGGAUAGAGUUUAAUGUUUAAUUUUUAAAUUUUAACCAACAAAUGCGAUUGUUGAUUGAGAGAUCAUCUUUAACUAAUGAAAACCACAAGUUGAAAUUGUAAUGUUCAUAUGAUAACUAUUUGGAGAUGUUUGAAAGCAGAUGCGUGUACAAAUGAAGAAAUUGCUACUAAAUGCAAGCAUGAAUUAAAAUACAUAUCAUGGUGAAAAAUUGUAUUUAACCAAAUAUAAUGUUUUUAGUAAAUAAAACUAGAACGAAUAAGUUUUUAAUCUAAAAGGGAAAUUAACAUUAGUAAGUUACAAAUAGUUGAAUAACAAUUUGAGAGCUCCAAAGUGGAAUUACAAGAUGAACUUCUAUUAAUUAAAUUGAUUCGUAUAAAAACAAUCUAGUGUUUCAUAUGAGUUACCAUACAUUGCUCAUAUGUUAUAAUUAUUUUCAUAUCAAGUGCAAUUUAUGAAGUGGUUUAGCUGAAUUCUAAAGUAAUAGUAAUAAAAAGGAUUUAAACAUGGCAACCUAAAAAUUAUGUUAAAUGUGUGUUAGCAUGGUCAUUAACAUUAAAAUUGAGUGCAUAAAUGAAUUUAAUAAUUUUUCUAGCAUAUUUACACAUGUGACAUGACUUUAUCUUUUAAUACAUAUUUUAGUAAUGGCUUAUGCUAUCUUUAUAAUUAAAUAAAAUAAAAGGUAUAAAUACGAAAAAUAUGAACCAUAUGCUCAAAAAAAAUUUACAAUUUCAAAUGAAUAAAUUUUGAAUCAUGAACAUGUUUUGUUGUUUAAACAAACUCAAAUUUGACAUUUAAACACAUGUUGCUGGAAAAGCCCCAAGUGUUGAUGUACUUUAAUUUAGCCAUCUUUAGCAACUAAUUCAAGUAACUUUUUACUAAACACAGAACUUUUGACCAACAUGAAACUAUAUACUUUCAUCUAGAUAUGUUGUGGAUGUGUGAAAACUUUGUUUUGCUCAAAAAUUUAAUCAAACCUUGAUCAAACCCCUGUUUUUACAAAUUCUGAAAAUUUCCAAGUCCUUCAUUGGAUUGCCCUAGCCUUGCUCUUUACAUGCAGGCCAAGUGUGAAAUUUUUAGAGUCAUCAACAUUCAUUGGAUUACCCUAAUCCAACCAUAGCAAAGUCGUAAAUAAAUAUGUGACCUAAUUCCGGGCAGGAUUUGAAAAUUUUUGGACUGUUUAUAGUUGAGUUAUGAAUUUUUGAAUCUUGUUAUCAGAAAUUUCCAUUUCUGCACCUAGCUGUUCCUCAUAUCGAUUCAUGGGCUAAUACCUUUUCUUGCAAAAUCACAGAGGAUAUAUUUAUUUCUGGACCGGACCGUCUCAUUUAACUGUGUUUGUAAUAUUUUCUUUUAAAAUUUUAUAAAGUUUGUUCAGUUAUUUUUACAUGUUUGAUAUUCCAUCUUUGUAAUUGAAGCUUAUCUCUUGUUCUUCGGUUUUUCCUUUUUUCUUUUUUUUCUUUUUUGCGAACCGAGCUUGGAGCUUCCUUAGCCAUGCCAAAUUUUGAAGGUCAGCGAACAAUAUCCCGUUCUUCCGUGUUGUAUUUGGUGAUGAUCAAGAAAACAGAAAUGUGACUAAAGAUCUAACCGUAACACUUUUUACAUCGAUAUAAAUUUGUUUUUAGGUAUUUCCCAAGAUGAUAAGCACACUCAUACAUUAGUCAAACAUUUUUUGCUCUGUACGAAGAAUAAUUCUCUUUGGACCUGAGGCUGAAAAGCAGAUCCCUUGUGCUUGGAUUGUUUGCAGGAAAUAAAGGUACGAUUUGCAAACAUGCAAUGUGUCGGCGAUAUACUGAUGUGUGAAACGAAACACUCUGCAUGGGGAUUCUACGACACUAUCCUGUUAUGUGCAUAGAUUUUAUUCAACACUGAAAUUUGCUUUUCUGGUACUUCCACUUCUCUGGCAGCACUAUACGAACUUUAUGAAAUGUAGCACUCCCUAGGCUAAUUAGUUCAUUUUUAUAUAGUAAACUCAAGUGGUCAAUCAUCCUGGGCAAAACUUCGGCCCAUCGAACAAGUUUUGCUGCUUGCAGAGUGGGCCUUGCCAAUGAGCCGGGGGCCAAAUUCCAGCAAAGCAGCAUGCAAGAGUCAUGCAGGAUCAAGAGAACAGAGAACUGAGAUUAAUUAAAACGACGAGACAUACAGUACUGAUACAAACCGACUACCUGUAGCUAGGUCCUGGUACGUACAGACACCUACGUACAUAGGAGUAUUACGCUUCCAACUAAGCACUUGAGACUACGUGCAACUCGACUGCUAGGUACGACGCGGCGCCGGCGACGGCGCGGUGCACGGUGGGCAUCCAUGACUAGCUAAAACAUGCAUGUCAGCUACUAGCUAGGCCUAGGUGUCGUCGUAGGACAUGUACUUUGAGAUGGCCUUGGUGCCCUCGGACAUGGCGUGCCUGCCGAGCUCCCCUGGGAGCACGAGCCUGACGGCGCUCUGCACCUCGCGGGAGCUGAGCGUGGCCCUCCCCGCGGCCUUGGACAGCCGCGCCGCCUCGUCCGCCAGGCGCUCGAACAUGUCCGCCAUCAUCAUGUCCAGCACCCGCAUCGCGUGCCCGGACACGCCCAGCUCCGGGUGCACCUGCUUCAGCACCCGCCACACGUACCGCUUGUACCCGCCCAUGCCGCCCAUGCCGGCGUCGCCGCCCGGGCUCGCCUCGCCCAGCCGCCUCCGCCGCCCGGUCUUCGCCUUGCCGCCGCCGCCGCCUCCACCGCCCCGCUUCUUCUGCUUCUGCGGCGUCGUCUUCGUUCCUGUUGUUUUCCUCUCCGACGCCACCCGCGGGGUCUCCGGCUCCUCCUCAUCUCGCCGCCGCUGCUGCGGCGGCGGCUUCCUCCUCUUCUUGCUGACGUCCACGUCCUCCUCCUCCUCCUCGUUGGGCUCCUGGGUCUCCAGACUCUGCGGUGGUGGUUCUUGUGCGGCUUCUUCAGCAGGAGCCGGCGGCUUCUCCUCCUCGCGCCGGCCACCACGGCCUCUCUUGGCGGUGGGCUGCUGCUUCGCACUGGAGCGGCCGGUGGUGUUGUCGCUGUCCGGAGUAGUGAUCUCGACGUGCACCACCUUGGAGCGCGAGACCUCCCCGGUGCGGGGCGCCAGGGCCAGAGCCCCUGGAGCCAGCUGCUGCUCCGGCUCACCGUCGGCGACAAUGGCGGUGGUGACCUCCACGGUCUCCUGCACCACCUUGGUCUUCACCACGGAGCCGACCACCUUGCCACUACUACGCCGCUUGGGAGCCAUGAUGCCAACCAAAUCUGCUACGCAGAGCAGAGGGUACUAACACUAACAGAGAAUGCUAACACUAACAGUGGCGACGAUGACAGACAUGCAGCUCGGUGGGGAAGAGGCUCCUUUAUGCAGGGCACGGCAGGGACACGUCACAGCCUCACACCAGGCCGGGGGUGGACACGCGGCUGCCUGGAAGGGCGAGAGGGCGACGUGGUAACUUCUGCCGCCUGGGGCUCCGGGAACAGGAAGACAGACACAGUUGCACUGCACGCUCGUGUCGCCGUGGUGACAGGUCCUCUCGUUGAGACAGGUCGAUAAGAUAAGUAUGCAGGGCGAAUGGAGGGAGAGGGAGGGAUCGAGAAGGGCAGCAGCAGGUUCAAAUUAAUCCAGAGGACUCGUUGAUCCACGCGCGCGCGGGCUCUCUCUCUCUCUUUGAACGGACGGCAAGAGCUUUGCCAAAUUUUUAUUAGAUGGAAAAGCAUAAAGAAAAAGAAAAUACAACUAGCAGGGCCAACCGCCCCCCACUAUGCAAGGAAUAACUAAUACUUAACUAAAAAAUAGAGAGCAAAAGAACAACGAGUAAAAAGGAAGAUGCUCGCAACUCAGAAAAAUUGCAUAGGUUUCGACCUGCACUCCGUUUGGAUAACUUUAGUUGCUGGUGGUAUUCCUUUAUAAGAUAAGCUACCUCCUUCACGAUCGAUGAUUAAAUGUCCUACGAUUUCUUUCCUUUCAUAUGUUCCAUAAAAAAUAUAUGACCAAUCCAUCAAAAAAUGAUAUGUUCUGUGUUGAUAUGAGUUUCCGGCCUUUUUUCCACCAUCUAUGAAUGGAAGAUGGUCCGUUUGUGACUGGUAGAUGCGGUAGGGUAAACCAUAUUGCCAACUUAUUCCAAACCGUUGCCGUGUAAGUGCAAUUUUUGUAUAAAUACGUCGGCGUUUCUCUCUCUUGCGGUUCGAAUCACGCUGGUCAGAAGUUUUGCGCAGUUCGCCCCACAAUUUCGUAGGGACAGUCGUGUUCACUGCCGCGACGAACUACAGUGCAUCGAGCUUUCUUAGAAUCGUAUCAUAAUAUUUGACAUACAGUGAUACGAAGGUAGUAUAUCAUACUACACCCACUUAAUUAAAGUUAAAUUUUUAGACAAAAUUAUUGACUUGCCCGUAGCCCUUCUAGGCCAUUUCUCAAUGGUAGUUUUAUGGCUGCCACGUAGUCAAUUGUGGUAAUAUGGGCAUACUGUUUAUGAGGUAAGAGAAGAAACUAGUUUCUUGGAGAUGAAACCAUGUAUACACUAUUUUCAAAAUAUUAAUGUCUUGCAUGUAGUCUUGGAAACAACAAAGUAUGAAACAAUGAAUUGUAUAAUUUAUUUUAUCCUUGAAUUAGAUACAAUCUUGUUUAUGUGGUAUGCUUGAAACAUAAAUAUGAAACAUUGCAUUAAGAAUGGUCUUACGUCUCUGUAUGAGUUAUACAUUCAUUUUUUUUCAUUAUUACCGAUUCUGGCGUUUUUCGCUGAUAAGUUAAUGCCAACAAAUAGCAACAUAAAUGUUGGGGGAAAAAAGGCAUAAACUCAGAAGGUAGUAACCAUGUGCAACGCCUCACAUCUAUUAUUGUUGUGUCCAACAUGCAGGACACCCACUUAAUUAUUGCCCGCUCUCUUUUAACUAUGAUCGAAAGGAGAUCCAGUAUGUACCUCCGCAGAUGAUCUGUAUGUAUAAGUAUAAUUUUUUCUUGUAAAGGGAAUAUGAAUUCUACGCAUUUAAAUAGACCAACAUACCAAGAUCCUGUUUGUUUGAGCUUUUUGACAGCUUCUCAGCGUGAAAAGUCAGAAGUUCAAACAAACAACGAUUUUCUCGUGUAGCUUCCGAAAAGCUGGAAGUUCAGAAAAGCUGAGUUUAUAUGGAAAGCUGAAAAGCUCAGUUUUAUAAACUUUUCGAAGCUUUUUGAGCUUAGAAAACUAAACACAUCUUCUAGAAGAUAGUGUUAACUUUUUAGAAGCAAAAAAGCUAGCAACAACUUUUCAGAAAAGAUCAAAAGCUACAAAUCAAACAAACAUGCCUUGACUCAUCCUGAGCCCAAAUUUUGUUUGAAGACAUAACUUCAGUUCUAACUUCUAAUCCCCGUAACCAAUUCCCAAGCUACACUAUGCGGCAGCUAUAAUCCAAAAGCAACUUAAAUUAUUCUCUAAAUAAAUCUUGAAACGUGACAAUUAAAAAUAAGUGUAAGUGUAGGACUGUUUCCUUAUUAUCAAAAACAAAAUAAUUUUCACUAUCUUUCUAAUUUCACUUGAUUAGAUUCUCUGGUAAAAAAUACUCCCUCCAUCCAAAAAAUAAGUCAUUCUAGGUUAAAAAUACCUAGAGCCCCUUGAUGCUCACUACCUUCCCAAAAAAAAUGAUCUAUAGCAGUUUAACUCUUUAAGAUACAUUUUUGUACUUUAAAGAAAGACAUUAUAUACAUGGCAAGGAUGCGCUCAGCACAUAAUUUAUCAGUACUAGGCGACUACCACAAGACAGAAGUAUACCUUUCCAACUGCUUUUAGCCUUUUAAAAACGAACUUCAAAGGAUCCCCUAUAAUUAUUUGUGAGCUUUCCAUGAUUUUUGGGAUGCUAAUAUAUCUAAAGAAAUAGUGCUCCAUAUCCACACUGUGAAUAUUGAACCUCAUAUAUCUUUGCUUCACUCCUUUAAAAAUUGAUCUUCAAUCCAGAUAAUUGCUCAUAACCACAUAACAUAAUAGUGUAUGAGAAGAAGAUGAAGGUAUGGUUAACACAGAAAGUUAUAUUUUCACACAGAAUACUUGAUCCUGGUUCAAUGUAUGUACACACAUUGGUGAUGGCCUGAUGGCGAGCGAAUUGAAGCUUGGUAAGUUGUUGUAUGUUUAGGACCCUGUGUCCCAGUCAACAAAUAGAGUACACUCAAGUUAUCCAGGAUUUAAUCACUACAGUGUCUCUGGAUUUGUUAAAAAAAGCUACAUUUUAGAGUUACGUAAAGAUCAGUUGGUUAAUUUUACUUACACCUAAAUUAGUUUUUGCAGGAUUACUAAAGAUAACGUUUCAGAAUUCAGAGGCACAACAGCAGUGUCAUCAGUCCCUCCCCAUCAGCAUGUUGGUGACUCCAUCCACAAUCUUGCUCCGCAGUGAAGAUGAGAGAUCAUGCUCCUCACCAAAGUGCACCCUGUAGACUUCCCACUCCCUAUCUUCCACAACGUGUCUGCCAAUCUCAGCCUACAAACAUCACGAUGCUCCAUUAGUUGUUACGAGAUGCUUCUCAUCUCAGUAAAAAAUAUAUUCAUCUAUGAUUGUAAUAAUUGUUAAAGAUGCACAAGGAUAUACUGUACAUUAUAUAGUACCAUACCAAGAAGAUUCGUUUCUGAAGAUUCUUGAGAGCAAGGGUGAUGUCAUAGAACACCAACGGCCUACCCUUGCCAGAGACCUCAACGGGGUUUGCUACCAGCAGCUCUGUGUCAGGACCCCGGUCCACCAAUGCCACACGCAGUGGUCGGAGGAGUUCCAUCCUUAGGCGACAACACAGGGAUCCCUGCCUUUGCAGAUCAAGGAUCUUCUUUCCAUCUGAUUGCACUACGAACAAAUCCACAUCACACCUUCGAUUUUGGCUAGCAUAGAAUCGGCCAUAGGAGAUCUGACACCAAAGAAAAUUGAACUUGCUUCUUCAUUAUUUUCCUUCGUAGGAGGGUGAAAUACAACUGAAAUUAGGCUUGUAUCAAUUGUAGUUACCUGAAUGUUGCAGUCCUUGACUGUCCUCAUGAUGUCAUAUAGGAGGCCCUUACGAUCACCACACUGAAUCUGAAUAAGAGUGUGCACAGAGCUUAGAGAGUUGUCCAUUGUCACGGAGAUGGUAUCACCACCUCUUGUGCUGAUUGACUGCUCCUCUAUGAGAUCCAUGUUAAACAUCUGUUCCACUACAGCAGGCAUCAACGAAGCACAAGCUUGAAGGCAAGACAACAUCUCUUCGGUGGCAAGAUCUAUUUCACGACUUGUCAAGGAGUCCCCUAAGACACUAUCGAGUUUGUCGUACGCUUCUUCCCUUCUGCUCUUUGUGUGCAGAAGCUCCCUGAAAUCAUUCCAGAGUGUUCGUUUACUUUCUAGAGGAGAUAUGGAGCUCAUAGUAUUCUAAAAGGUGGAAAUUAGUAACCAUAAACCACAAACAGGCAGCACCACACUAUGAUGUUAAAAAAAGAAUGGACGAUUCCUGAUAUAUCAGCAAAGAUGCUUGAUGAAUAAUAUAAUGUAUGAUUUCAUCAUAUUAUCAUGGAGUAAUAGUUUCUGGAAUCAAGAAACAAAAAAAAAAGAUCAUUAGAAGGCACUGAAAAGGAUGUGUUAGGAGAUAAGAGACCUGGUAUCUGUGAUGAAGAAAAGGUCCAGCACAUUCCCAUCAGGGGUGGUAGAGACCUUCACCCUCCGAAUCGUGAACUCUAGCUCACACAAGACUCGUGUCACAUCUGUAUACACAGAAUUCCCAAUACGAAGAUCCAAAUUAGACCUUUUCUAGCUGCAUAUAUCUCCGAUGAAACAUCCCUUUCAGGACUAGCUGUCCUUGGUUACAUUAAAAACCAAAUCGCUAGAUAUGAAGCUACCUUACCUUACCUUAUCUAGCAGUAUUACUGCAUAGUUGUACAGUGGGAGAAAAAAAGAAUCCCCACAAGGUCCUAUGUAUUCAGUAAUCAAAUGGCAAAGAAAUGCAUGCUAUGGGGUAAUGAGAGACUGACAAUUUUGUCACAAGAUGUUUGAGUCUUUGAGAAAUGAGAUCAGUCAACGUAAUUUUCGGUUGUCUGAUAAGAUGACUGGCGAAGAGGGAAACACUUUCCCCACUAAUUUAGGCUAGCACUUUCCAUAGAACAGAAAAAUCAGGUAGCCUACGGAACUAUGCAGGGCAAAUCAUUACUGAAUCUAUGGUAGCAGGUGGUGUUACCAUGCAAGAGGCCCAUCCGGUCGAAGCAGUAUAGCUUGAGCAAGAAGAGCUGUGGCGGCGCGGGGUUCGCGGCGUCCUGGAUGCCAGCGGCCGCGAGGCAGGCGGCGUCGAACCCGAACGGCGCCGCGACAGGGCAGAGCUGAAGCAGCCUAUCCUUGAGGAGGUCCCACGGCACGGGCCGCCGCCCCCGGCCCCGCCGCGGCAGCACCCAGAGCACGAUGUAGCACCAGCGCCCGUCCGUGCUCAAGUCCCCCUUGACGACGCUGAGGCCGAAGAGGAGGACGACCCGGCAGAGGUCGCAGCCGAGGCCCGUCUUGUCGGGGCAGCUGACGGUGACGACGGCGGGGUCGCCGGCGGCGUCGGCGUGGCGGAUUUGCACCACCUCGUCACUGGGUAUCCCCAUAGUGCCCAGCUCCCGAUUGCGGUCGGAAGAAGACAAGAAGUGGCGGCGAUCUUGAGUGGGCUGCCGCGGCUGCGGGGACAGGCAGACAGCGGAGGCCGCGGUGGCGGAAACGAGAGAGAUGUGGGCGGAAUCUCGGCUGAUGGAUUCCCAAGAUCCUUGUUGUUCUUCUUUUCAUUUGGGAGAGGGGAGAAAAGGAAUCCAAACAAAUUUCGGGGGGCAGAAAAAGAAAGUGAUUGAUGUGUCGUGGACAAGUAAACAAGGCACAUGGAAGGCUGAGAAUGGUUGGGCGGUGAAAUUUUUUCCUUUUGUGCACCAACCAGCCGUUUCCACUUUGCUCUGUUCGACUGUUCCAGACUGUUCCGUCACCUAGAGAUGUUAGGAUCUAUGACUAAUUUUUACUUCGGAUCAUAUCGGAUGUUUGAUACAAAUUAGUGAACUAAUUAUAAAACUAAUUGUAUAAGUCAUGACUAAUUCGUGAGACAAAUCUAUUAAGCCUAAUUAAUUCAUGAUUAGCACAUAUUUACUAUAGCAUCACACGGUCAAAUCAUGAACUAAUUAAGCUUAAUAGAUUCGUCUCGCAAAUUAGUCUUCAUUUAUGCAAUUAGUUUUGUAAUUAACCUAUAUUUAAUACUCCUAAUUAGUAUCUAAAUAUCGAUGUAAUAGGGACCAAUUCCUGUAAACAAACGGGGCUUUAGGUAGAACUUGGAAGAAUUGCUUGAGGAAAAGUGCUGCCUGAAAGUUGUCCGCAAAUUUUUGAUAGAAUCUGCCUAGCCUGGAAAACCUGAGAAAGUUAAUCGAUGAAUGACUAUGUCACGUAUAUGUAAUUUUUUCAGUACAUCUAAUGUGAUUGGUUUGAUAAUUUAUAUGACCCUAUUAUUAAAAUAUUGAUAUUAAUUAAUUUAUAAGUCUAUAAAUUAAUAAUUUUCUAUAAAUUAAUAAGUGUAUAACAAUAUUAAUAAUUUUCAAAUGGUGCCCCAAAGUAUCUAGUUAAAACUAAAGAAGUUAUAAAACAAUGAUAAAUUAGCUGCACAAUGUUUGUGCGUUCGGUAUUCGUUUAAACGAUAACUAGUAGUGAAAAGAAAGAAAAGGACGAAAAGGCAAUACAAAUAGCAUUCUACAUGCGUCCUGUAACUAUGGUCAAUUAACUAAUGUAGUCAUUACACUAAUCACCGUUAUUAGCUCAGGCAGCCGCAAGCAGCAACCCAAGCAGUCGAUUUCGAUCGCCUGGUGGAGGAACCAGCUGCCUGCGUCAGGCUGAUAUCGAGGGCUGCAACCAAACACACUCCAGGCAGGUGUCAGGCAAAAUUAGCUCAGGGUUCCAUCCAAACAUACCAUUUGUCCACGUUUUUAACCUAACCUAGGGUAGCUAACCUAACGUAAUUUUUAGCCGUAGUUGCCCAAAGAUGUACUGACGAAAGCAUGUAUUUUGUGAUAUCAAAUAAAAAUAUACUUAAGUUAAAAGUGCCGACUGAGCUUUUAACGAGUCCAAAGUUGAUUCGCACCUCCUAGUAUACAGGCGCCUGAAAAAUCUCACGCCAAAUCGCAGUCGAUGGUGACCGGAUUGAUUAGGAAACGGGUUUGGGCGUUUGGGAGUUCCGCAAAUAACAAUGAUCCAAAGUUGCACUUGUGGGCAAGUUGAGACCGGGGUUCCUGUUAGUAAACAUGCAAAGUCAAGGGGUCUACAUCAUCCGUGUCACCAGCGCAGCCAACUCACUGAAUGAGUCAGUGAAUAAGAGUGAAGGGAUACAUUUCCCGCUCCCCAGCUAGGACAGCAGCAGCCCAUACAUUUGGGUGGUCGUCCAGAUUAGGUCGGCCCACCAAGGCCCAAAAAGGUACUGAAUCAGAAGAGAGGAGUAAUGCAUGACAUUGGCUAAAGAAAAAGAAAAAAAGUGAAGUCUAAGCAAGGCAAGAAAAGCGUACGUACUUACCUAGACCCUAGUAGGUGCACAGUGCGAUCGUCGUACAUCAAGGGCGAGGCGCUCUCCUCUUUAUUCAAUUAUUCUCACGGACGGAUGCAAUGCAAUUCCCUUUCCACAUUUGCAGCACCAGCGUACCUGCACGCUGCAGGCUGCUCCACCGAACCUUACAUAGCAUAUGAUGAAUGCUGCCAGGUUUGGUUGUUCGGUUCCUGUCUUGCUUGCACGGCAUGCAUAUGCAUCACAGAUCCACAGCUCAUACCUCGUCCGAAUCUGACGCCAACCGCCAACGCCUGGACGCAGAGCAGGGGUCGGACAAGGCCAUAGCUGCUGCAGCAGCAGCAGCUUCAGAUUGCUCUGGCACCAACAGCUCUUCUUCCUUCAACACCGCGGACGCAGCUGCGUGUCUGUCAGUGGCAAAGGAAGAGCAAGUUACUGGUGUCAGCUUGGGAAUGCAGGCCAGGCAAGGCGGCAACUUCCUCCUUUAUUUUAGGUCAAUUCUUCUUAAAAAGAGAGAAUAAGAUGGCCCCAUUGAUAUUAUAUACUAAACUGGAUCAUAUAUCAUGUGAACGAAAAGGUAGGGAAGAAAUAAGAAAGUGACUACGCGGGGCACGAGGGAGUGAGAUGCAAAGGCAGGUAAGCUCAGCAAAGCAGCCGUCUGUGACUCGCACCAUGGAUUGGAGGAUGCCAGUAUGGAGUAAACUACUGUCUAGCAUUGAGCCUGCUUUCAACACCCGGUAAGUAAAUAUAGUCUCUGACAGCGCAGCUCAAUGCGAAUGCAAUGUAGCCUCCCAACCAACCCAGCUGUACUGUACUAGCGUACCUUGCUCUGCUUUACUGCUCCUCCUGUUAUUACCUUCUCGUGCCUCUGAGGACAGGACAGCAGGCCGUGAUGCGAGUGAGAUCCAUGUGAGUGCUGGUAGCAACCAGCAACACAACAGCUAGCCCGCCCAUAUACCAAAUGAGUACGAGUACCUCCUCCUCUCAUACAACUAUACAAGCUGAGCCUAGCCUCUCGUCUUCCUGGACAGGGGGAACAGAUCAAAAUCAGCUCUACGAGAAGGAAGCAGAAAAACGGCAGGCAGCAACAAGAGAAGAUUUGCCAACCUCUGAGUGCUGGUUCUCGUGUUUAUAUAAGUAGGUAUCUGCUCCAGGCUUCCACUCCCUCAGUCUGUCUAUCACAUCGCUUUCGCUAGCUUCUUCCUCACCACUUGCUUCUUUUAAACAACACAGGCUAAGGGAAGCUUCAUUGCCAUUCCCUGCAGCUAGCUAGCACUCUUCUGUUGCAGUGACUAAGCACUCGCUUCGACUGCAUCGGUCUCAUCUGCAGUCUUGUAAAUUGCUUGGAUCGUCCAAGCCGCCAUGUCUUCGGAGGAAGGAGCAACACUAGAGGGAAGGGCACCUAGGAGGCGUCGUGGCAGCCCAGGCCAAAGUGGUGUGUCCAUGACGGUGGUGUACUACCUGUGCCGCAGUGGACGGCACCUGGAGCACCCACACCUGAUGGAGAUGCGCCUCCCCUCCCCAAACGAAGCACUCUACCUCAGGGAUGUGAUCUGCCGGCUGGACGCGCUGCGAGGGAAGGGCAUGGCUGCCAUGUAUUCCUGGUCCUGCAAAAGGUAACUGACCAUCCAGAAGUCCAGAUCGUUUGCUUCCUUGCUCGCUUGCUUCUGGCAACUGACAUAUGUAAUGCACUGCAAUAUUGAAGAAGGUACAAAACCGGAUUCGUAUGGCAUGAUGUGCUGGAGGAUGAUAUGUUGCUCCCCACACAGGGCAGCGAGUAUGUCCUCAAGGGCUCCCUCUUGCUCCCCCACCACUCAUCACCACCUGCGCUUGUAGCUGCACCACCACCUGCAGGUAUAUUAUAAGUCAUGCAUGGCAGCCAAUUGCGGCCUCUCAUUUUUUGCAUAUUUGGCCCAAGUUGCUCUUCUUCAACCACUACUUACUGGAUUAAUUUACCUAUUGCAUGUUCCCAUCCUGUAAUUUGUUGUUUCAGAUCAUGACCACACGAAUGUCGGCACAACCAUUAUCCAAAAGGUCCAAUGCGUCAAGCCAACUCCUGAUGAAGAGGCACCAACUCAUUCCAGGGAAGGCUGGACUACUAAUUCAUCAUUGUCAUCUCCUCCCACGAUCGAGGUUGAUGUUGAGGUUGAAGCACCACCUCCACCUCUGCACCAAGAGCCACAGCCAGAGCUGUCGUCAAUAUCACCAUCAUCUUCUUGCACCACUGGGGAUAGGGACGAGAAGGCAGCAUCAGCACGUUCAAGCUCUUCAGGCAGCCCCGCCUCUCCUACUAAGCCAACAAGAGGAUCAGCAGGAAGCGCACCUUCUACUUCAGGUAGCACAAGCUCUCCGACUCCUCCACCUAGCCUCAUGCUUUACAACAAGCAGCAAGUGUCCAUAAUCACAGCACAAGGCGAAGCAACACAAACCCAAGGAACAUCAACAGGGAGAGACCUUCACAAGAAGGAUACUGGUUGUAGUACCGGUAGCAUACUGAUCAAGGCAACUGUGCCUGCCGAUGAUAAGCAAGCAGGACGGACAAGAUCUUUCUCCUCCAGCACCAGCAGGAGUGGGACCUUGGAGUCCCUCAUAAGGGCCGAGGCUCUUGGCAGAAGAGGUGCCACUGCUAAGAGGAUCCUGGAAGAGGAUGAUGAUGAUGACAAAGAAGCAGUGCAGUCACUAGGCACAAAGCUGAACCCUGCCAACCUGCUGAUGCGGCUCAUGGCUUGUGGGUCGACGAUGUCUGCAAGGCAGCAUCUCCCUGCCUGUGGCCUCAUGCGAUCAACGCACAAGCCCCAGUACUUGAGCCAACAUGUUGAGCUGCUGCCAUCAUCUCCAGUGUUGUCUCCCCUUGGCGCGCUCAUCAUGCAUCCUGUAACUGCUGCUGGAGUUGGAGUAAUUUCAGACUCAGGAGACUGCAGCAACUGCAGUGGGAGCAUGCUCCAAACUGCAGUCAAGGGAUGCGAGUCAGGCAAAGUGAUGUCAACAAAUAUUAAGCACUCCUCAUCUUAUGACCAAUACUGGUAUGUAACCUGAUUCCUUUUCUUGUUCUUCACUACCCUUUCCGAUGAACAACUAGCUGAUAUUCUGAUGCAAGCAAGAAACUUAUGCCCACUCUUCCCCUUCACUAGCUGAUAUCCAGGCUUGAGGUUUAGCACAUUAGCACAAUGUUAGUCUUAUAAACAAAAGCAUUCCCUCAUGCCCAUCACUGUUUCAAUGACUGUCUCCUUGACCAUGAUCUCUCUGUACGCAAUUAGCUUUUUGCAUACAGUUCUCUGCAUAGAUUGUGACCACAGAAAGAAUACGUUGCAGUGUUUCUGAGAAAGAAGCCUCCGUAGGGAAUUUGGAUAAUUUGGAGGGCAGAAGCAAAAUUAUCUCACAAACAAUCAAAAUGGCACCAUGUCAGCAACCCAAAAGUGGGACAUUGGUAACCAUAACCACAGAUGUCAGACAUAACAAUGGUGAACAAGGAUGUAGCAAUGAAGCUUCAUCCAAGACUUUGUCAAGAAGUGCGAGCAAAAGAAUGACCGAUCCAUCACCACGAUCUACAAGAGUAGUAACAUUUCAUGAUGAAAAAGAGAAAGCGGUUAAGAUUGAAGAAAGGUCAGUAAUACUCUCAAUCUUUGCAGUUUGUCCAGUAAGGCAGUGUACGAUUUUCUUUGUUUUUUAUGAGGAAUGAACCUUGCUUCCACCAUUGCAGGCUUGCUUCUGGAGCUCGUGUCAUAAUCCAGUGUACGCCCUUACUCAAAGAAACUUAUGCCAGUGCUAAAGCAAUGUAACAGAGGCCGUUUCCAUCUUGUUUGCCCCCUCUACCCUUUUUCUUUCUUGAUAGUUCAAUGUUAUUGGCAGCAGCUGAAAGUGUGCGGUUCUAUCAGAUUUCUCAUCAGGGUAAUAAUUAGCAGAUGGGUUUCUGUACCUUUCAGGGUAGUUACCAUUGUAAUAAAUGUCCAUUGUCUGUCACCAUAACACUGUACUCUCAUUUCGGUAAAGAUGUUUACACAGACACCACAGUUAGCAUUCUUUCAGUUUUCUCUUAUUUAUCCUUCUGCUUCUGUAAGAUUUCCCUCGUAGAGUCCCUUCUCCAAAGCAGUUGUUGGUGGCUGCUAGGAGUUUGGCAGGGAAAAGGGUGAAAUAAACAGCACAUCGCUGAGUAAAUUCAUGCCCUGGACAUGAUUACUGCCUCCUUUUUCGUCAGAAACAGGAUUGAGCACUUCUCUGAAACCAAUACAGGCCCUGCAGGGAAGCAAAUUCCUUUUGCCUGCACUGUGCGUUACUGUAUCAAAGGCAGAAAUCAGAGUCGACUUGUCCACACAAUAGGUUGACUCAUGGAUCACCUACUAUCAUACAGACUAAAGUCAGGUGAUACUAUAGUACAGCCAGUAGUAAUGCCUGCGUGUGCUGCAAUCCAUCCCAUCGUUGUGGUACUUGUAGAUGCAAGUGCUUUCAAUCUCCAGCCUGCUGUGCUUUACUUGUACCUGCUCUGCUGGUACCUGUUUGUUUCUAGAUCUGCUGCGCAUUGCUUGCUCUCAAGUCUCAAGUAGCAAACACCAGCAUGUGCUCCAUUCAUGUGUUGUUCCAUUUUGCUUCCAACAUCAUUAUCUCAAUGGGAUCUCUUUCAUCAGGUGACUGACUGUUUUUGCAGUCAAUGUUGCUAUUGUAACUGAUUUCUGAUUGGUUCGCCAUUCAUGGAUAAACUGCAAAUGCAUGGCCACAUAAAUUCAGCUAGCAGCAUGACAUUCCUUUGCAUGACCAAGUACUAGAGAGUGCCUUGUAGUGUGAGGCUCCCUUCCUGAAUCCCCCAUUCCACAUCUGCCUGGCGCAAAAGGCCAGACAAGUAGCCCCGAUAGGAAAAGGUCCAGGGCUCACCAAAUGAAAAUAUGAAAUCAAGUGUUUUGCUCGAUUACCAAACUCCUUGAAGCAGAUCAAGCUCAACAUACUCCACAGAAACCCAUUUCUGCAACAGUAAAAGUUAUUUCAUAUUGAGUCAGUUUAGUAUAAGCUCAACUUUCAAGCAACACUGUCACAGAGAACAAAAGUAUAUACAUAAAAAAGUAGGGUUCGCUAUCAUAUGUUUAGCAGUGUCAUACAGCAACGAUGGCCUAUUGAUUAUGAAGAACCAAUAUCUGUAACCCUAUAUCAAAACAAACAAGCAUAAACUCUGGAAUAUAUAUGCUCUAAUGCAAUUGCCUAUUCCCUACCUUAUCUACUCUUAUCAGAACAAAUUAGCUUGCCCCAAACAUCAUAUAUGUAAAAACAGAUGGAGUAGGUAACUAGUAGUGAUAAACUGAGAUAUGAUGCAACAUACUUUAUACCUGGAAAGGUAUUCUUGGUAAGAGAAUUUCCAUAGAUUUAAACACAUGCAGAUAGUUGUAGCAUUGAGCUAUUUUGACCAGGAUGUAGCAUUGAACUAUUGUAGAAGAUUGCUCUGCUUCUCGGCUUAUAAGCAUCGGCCUGCAGGUAAAUCAAACAGCAAAAUCCCUGCAUGAACUAAGAUACCUCUUCACAAGCAAAUAAAAUCCACAGAUUGUCCCAAUGAAAUAUUUCAAUUUCCUCAUCACUUAGGUAUUAUAAGGGAGCAUAUAAUUUUUAGAAAACAGUUCGCACCUGCUUUUAUAGAAAGUACAUAAAGAAGGGCGCAUAUAUAACUUUAUCUAGCAAGCAAAUGCUCCCAAGGACUUCCAUAUUCUGUAUAUGUAGCAAGAUGUAUGUUCUCAGAAAGAGGAUUCACAGCUGUACUUAUGCAUGUGCAUCACUCAAACUCAAAGAACAGAUACCCACAAAGCCAAAACACAGAUGCAAAUGAAUCAAUCAUGAUAAUCACUUGUUUAAGUGCACUGUGGGAAAAAAACAUAGUAUAUAGGUUAUGAAAUGAACUAAAUAGUAAAAAAUAAUGUAUAACAAAUCCUUGUUACAGAAUUUAGUUAAGGAACUGAUCAGUUGGGUGGAACCAGUGCUGCCGGAAGUACAAAACUAUAUACAUUGAUGGUUGCCAAAAUUUCCACGGAAGUGAUAAUGGCUAGCUAAAUACAAACAUCUACGGACAAGUCUGAGUACUAAAUUGAGACAAAAUGACAUUUACAAGGCUUGCUUGACAAAAGCACGCCUUGUGAUAUCCAACAACUUAUCUAGGACGUAUCAACAAACAACUUAUCUAUUAGGGAGAAAAAAACAAAUCACCGGAGCACCUCCGCCUUCUUCUUCCCCCUGAGGAAGACCUCCCUAUCAACAACCUCGCGCAUGUACCCAUCAAACUCCACAGGAACCCCACCAUUGAGCCUCCUCAUCUCCAAGAACCACUUGCUGUCUGUCCCCCACAGGUCCUCAAACUCAUCCAGGUGAUGCACAGCGUGCUUUGCCUUGAGCGUCUCCACCAGCACACUGGUGACCCCCUCCCCUGCGACAUACACCUGCCGCCCCGCAUCAAGACCUUCCUCAACCCUCCGUCUAAGGUCCUCACCAUUGGCAUCAAUAUGGACUGAAUCAAAGUCUGGUUGCAUCCUUGAAACAAUAUCAUCAACAAUGUGCAUCAAGCUCGGUGCCCAGCGUGUCGCCCACCGCAUUGGGUGGAGCACGCCCUUGGCCUCACCGUCGCAGACAUUGUACCAGUAGUUCCCUGGCUCCACGUCCCCGAAUUUCCUGAUGAUGAGGGUGUCCCUAACCUUGGACAACUUGACAGGUACGAGCCGCGUGUCCUCAACGAGGCGCGCCCGGAGCUGGCCCUGCACUCCCCACCUGUCCCAGUCCGCCCAGAACUGGCUCUGCUCAAUGAUGGGGACCUGGGAGUGGAGGUGGUCGACGUCGACAUAGAAGGCAAGGCGCUUGCCCUCCUCGGGCAUUCCUCCCGUGCCCGCUGCGGCGUAGGAGGCAGCGAGGCAGAGGGUGAGAUCAAGGACGAGGGUGCGAUUGAGGUAGCGGGCCUCAGCGAGGGCGCAAAGGAGGCUGCGCAGGUAGUGCGGCAUGGGCUUGCAGCGGUCGCCGCCGCCGAGGUAGGCGAGGUAGGAGCCCUGGGCGAACUGGGAGCGGGAGAGCGCGGGCGGGGGCGGAGGGGCGAUUGUGGCGUUGGUGGCGGCGCGGCGAGGCUUGCGGGCGUUGGGGCCGGAGUGGUACUCGCCGAUGGAGAGGACGGAGUAGGCGCACGUGUGGGGAUCCCGGGCGAUGGCGAAGCGGCGAUAGUCCUUGGUGGUGGCCUUGGAGGGGGAGUCGGAGUCGGAGCGGGCGCGCCAGGCCAUGUCGCAGGAGGCGGACGGGGGGUCGCCGGGGACGGGGCGGCCGAAGCGGGCGAAGUGGACGGCCGGGAAGGCGUCGAUGGCGCUGCGCAUCAUGAGGUGGAAGAGGCGCGGGUCGGCGCAGUCGAGCGGGGAGGCAGGGUUGCAGGCCUGCUCCUGGGGCCUCUGGUCGGUGAGGGCGGGGGCGGCGCGCGGGGAGAUGGAGAUGGGGAGGCGGAGGAGCGUGGCGAGGAGGACGAGCAGGAGGAGGAGCGCGGUGGCGGCGUGGACGGAGGAGGAGAGGAAGGAGCCGCGCCCCAGCAGCGGGCGGCUCGGGUCCAUCGCGGCCACACACGCACCGCGACGGCGACGAGAUUUCUCUCUCUUUUCCCCCGCCCGGAAAGGCAACGACGGCGACGAGAUCUGGUUGCUCAAUGCUCUCACGCGCUGCCCUCUAACGAACAUCAAGUGGGCCGCAACCAAACAAAGACCAUGUGGCCCAGCCCACAAAUACCGGCAGCCCGAGCGGGCAAAAAAGCUCGGAAGAAAGUAAAAGUACUUAUCAGUCUAAAAAAAGGUAAAAGUACUUAUCAGUCUUAAGAAAAGGUAAAAGUACUUAUCAGUCUAAAAAAGGUUAAAGUACUUAUCAGUCUAAGAAAAAAGGUUACUAGUACUUAUUCUAAAAAAAGAGGUAAAAGUACUCUUGCGCGAGGGACACGUAAAGGGAGAAGUACGCUUCCAUGGUCAUGAGCGCAGGCCAUGGAUCGUGCUAAUUUGGCUUCGUAUGCCUGCAGGAUUUUCCAACUUGACCUGACUUUGCGUGGUGGCGGAUGCCUGCAAAGAGAGGAUGGGGGGAGGGAUGCAGAUGACGAUAGAUCUCGCGCUCUAGGAGAGGAGGCCGCAGCGGAGAGAGGGAGCUAGCAUUUUCGCCAGGUGUUUCUUUCUCUCAAAAGAGAUUGUGAAAAGAAAGACAAGAAGGAAAAACGAAAGGAAGGAGCUUUAUGUAAUCGGAGGCCCGCACAAGUGGACUGAUAGCUAGGAAUUGAAGCUAGAGGGGCGCGUGUCGCCAUAUCGGAGUCGUGCGCGCAACCCAUGCAUGCACGCAGUAGGAUUUCUAAUAAGGUAGAAAAAUGCACAUAAAACAUUUUUUGCCGAACGGUCCUGACAUAUAAAACAUAUGAAAGCCGCAAACACGCGCGCGGAACACCAUCCAAGGCCGCGUCUGUAAAAUAAGAUAUUUUUGUUCUUGGAUCUAGUGAGUUUGCGACGUUGCUGCAAAAUUCAUAUGUCGCGAGGCGGACUCGGUGCCAGGACCGCAAAAAAUAUAUAUAUGUAUGCUUCACGUGAAGAAAUCAGAAACAGUUAGGCCAAAAUCUUGGGAGGAGAGGGAGCGGAAUCCAUCCGAUUUGGAUGGGAAUGGCCGAAUGGGAGAGGGCGGGAAGAUAACCAGGUGGCGGGUGGAGCUUUGCUGUCGUGCGUCAGCGGCAGCCUCAUAAACCUUUAGCAGCUCGAUCUCCUCCCUCUGGUCUCUGCUUCUCCUUGCUUCCGAGCAAGCCGUCCUGUAUCCAUCAUCUUCAUCUUGCUAGCUGCUUCCGAGUUCAGUCCAAUGGCAUUCAUGGCGGCUGCAGCUGCUGUUCCUUCCUCCUCCUCCGCCUCAACCAUCUUGCCGAGCCGACCCCAAACAAGUCCCUUCCAAUUCCAUGAGCACGCCGCCGCACGCCGCUCAUCGCCGGCGCUGCAACGCCGCCGCCUGAGGUCGAGGUCGCGCCGCAACCAGCUGGUCUGCUGCUCCCUCGACGCCACCAAGUGCGGAACUGACAGCGGCCGGCCGGCCAUUUCUUGUCUACUUUAUUUCUCCUUUGCAGCUGACCAUGCUCAUGCAUGUACGUGUGGCACGGACGCAGGCAGGUUGUGCAGGAGGAGCGGCCGGCGGCGGUGAAGGACGCGGCGGGGCGCACGGACUGCUUCGGGGUGUUCUGCACCACCUACGAUCUCAGGGCGGUCGGUGUGCGACGACGCUCUUCAUCUGAAUUGUGGAUUCUGCCUUUCAAAACUACUGACAGAUUGAGAUUGUUGUGUUCUUCCCUUCCAAAUUAAAUGAAAUGUAGGACGAGGAGACAAAAACCUGGAAGAAAGUAGUAAACAUUGCUGUGUCAGGUGCAGCCGGAACGAUAUCCAACCAUCUCCUCUUCAAAGUAAGCAUAUCCAAUCGACAUGCUCUUCAAAGCGCGCAACACAAUUUGAAUUCUGCAGCAUCACUUCUUUAUUUCUAUGUAUUAUUCACUUAAAUCUGAAGUGCCACUACAUACAUACUCUCUUCGACGUACUCCGAUUUCUGAUCUGAUCUGCAGCUUGCGUCCGGCGAGGUGUUCGGGCAAGAUCAACCAAUAGCGCUCAAGUUACUGGGCUCCCAAAAAUCGUUCCAAGCGUUGGAAGGUGGCUGUUGCGUUCAGUUGUUGCUUCUGUCUGAAAAGUGAAAAUUGAUUAAAUCCCAAGCGCCUGCGUACUUGCAGGCGUAGCAAUGGAACUGGAGGAUUCCCUGUAUCCCCUCCUGAGGGAAGUCAGCAUCGGCAUAGAUCCUUACGAGGUUUUCCAGGAUGUCGAAUGGGCUCUUCUGAUCGGCGCCAAGCCCCGAGGCCCGGGAAUGGAGCGAGCUGACUUGCUCAAUCUCAAUGGCCAGAUUUUUGCGGAACAGGUAUCAGCUAAAACUCCAAAAUUAUAUGCCUGAAUAGGCCACUAAUGGUCCGAAAACUGCCCAAAACCAAAUCGAACCUCCAACAAAUUUCAGUCAAAUUCACUAAAAUUUUAAAGUGUAAAUGUAGGAUCUGACUUUUGACUAGGUCGCACAUAUAGUCAUACUAGUUUUCUUAUUAUUGAAUAUUUUGAAUUAAUCAAACUAAUUCCAACCAGCCCAAACCGUUACAUUUGAUAAACCAAACCAAACCCGACCAUUAUAUAUCUCACCCCAUUGUCCACUAAACCAAGCUAGGCCAAGAAAACCAAACUACUAGAACCGGUUUGAGAUCGAACCAUUCCCAGCUUUACUGAUUUUAGUGCAUGCUAAAACUAUACUCGCUCCGGUUAUAUACCUGAUUUUUUUAAAAAAAAGUCUAUUCAGUUAAGCCUGUGUUCUCAAUAACUUCAAAAAUUGGGGCAGUUUUGUGCUCCAAAAUACAAAAAAGAAGCGUAACUCCGCCACACAUAGCUUAAGAAAUAUGGAAACACAAAAAACACAUUUGCAGAUUAUUUGAAUAGUUAGCUUCCAUAAUAUUUUAAAUUUAUUAGAUAUUAUCAAUAUAUCCUAAUUUCCGAUAUAAAAUGUUUUUAACCACAUGGGGUACUUCAGACAGCAACCUAUAUUUAUAUAUUUAUUUGUUUCAAUUAUUCACUCAUCCUAUGACCCUAAUGUGGUUUUCACUUCUUAUUUGGUAUUCUGAAAAGGGGAAGGCGCUUAAUGCUGUAGCAUCUAAGAAUGUGAAAGUUCUUGUGGUUGGCAACCCAUGCAACACCAAGUAUGUACAUGGAUCCCAUCCGUUUGGUUGCCGGAAUAACAAUAUCCAUUCACCAUUGCUGCUUUGUGCUUAACACCAUGUUUCUUAAUUUGCUACUUAAUUACAGUGCCUUGAUUUGCUUGAAGAACGCCCCUGACAUACCCCCGAAGAAUUUCCAUGCUCUGACAAGGUUGGAUGAGAACAGAGCCAAGUGCCAGGUGCUUUGAUUAAACUGUAUUUCAAGUCUUGCUACAAUCUUAGGCCUCGUUUGCUUCCGCUGACUUAUUUUUAGCACCCGUCACAUCAAAUGUUUAGAUACUAAUUAGGAGUAUUAAACGUAGACUAUUUACAAAACCCAUUACAUAAGUGGAGGCUAAACGGCGAGACGAAUCUAUUAAGCCUAAUUAGUCCAUGAUUUGACAAUGUGUUGCUACAGUAAACAUUUACUAAUGAUGGAUUAAUUAGGCUUAAUAGAUUCGUCUCGCCGUUUAGCCUCCACUUAUGUAAUGGGUUUUCUAAAUAGUCUACGUUUAAUACUCCUAAUUAGUAUCUAAACAUUUGAUGUGACAUGUGCUAAAAAUAAGUCAGUGGAAGCAAACGUCCCCUUAAUCUGUAUGGCAUGCAGUGGUCUUCUGUUUUCAAGGAAGGUUAACAGAUAGAACUAACCCUCCAUGGACGUACAUAUUCUUGCCUUUCUUCUGUAGCUCGCGCUGAAAGCUGGUGUGUUCUACGACAAGAUAUCAAACAUGACCAUCUGGGGGAACCAUUCAACCACUCAGGUGAUACAUCUUAUUUAAGCAUCUCUUCCGAUUUUACUGGUGAUUUGACUGUAUUGUAUUCGCUGAUUAGGUUCCAGAUUUCUUAAACGCAAGAAUUGACGGCAAGCCAGCGAAACAAGUUAUUGGGGACACCAAAUGGUUAGAAGAAGAAUUCACCAAAAUAAUUCAGAAGGUACAUUUGCAGUUGCAGAUAGUCCAUCUCUAUCUGUAUAUGCUAAUAUACACAGAGCACAUACAUGUAGUGAGAAAAAAAAAGAUGAUUUAAUGUUGGGCAAUUAAAUUCACAAACAGCGUGGAGGUGUGCUCAUCCAGAAAUGGGGAAGAUCUUCGGCUGCAUCUACUGCCGUCUCUAUAGUCGAUGCCAUGCGGUCACUCGUAACCCCAACCCCAGAAGGCGAUUGGUUCUCUUCAGGGGUACUCGUACUUGGGCUUACACAUGAAUAAUGCUGCUUCUCAUGCAACAUGGUAUUAACAUUUCGCUAUGAAACUGUUUCUCUGAAAAAUUUGAAGGUAUACACGAACGGAAAUCCUUACGGCAUAGCAGAGGACAUCGUGUUCAGCAUGCCAUGUAGAUCAAAGGUAGUGAUACUAUGCCAAACCUGAAUUGCCGUCAUUACAAUAGUAGGAGGUAUUUUAGGUACGUUUGUUUGAGCUGCAUUUUCUGAGCUUUUCUGAAAAGCUGGUGCUGGUUUUUUUUCCUGAAAAGUGAAUUCUAACUUUUCAGAAGAUGUGUUUAAUUUUUUGAGCUUAGAAAGCUACCAAAACUCAUAAAAUUGAGUUUUUCAUAUAAACUCAGUUUUUUUUGGGCUUCUUGCAAUUAACAAGUGAAUUGUCAUUCAGGGCGAUGGCGACUACGAACUAGCUACGGAUGUCAUGAUUGACGAUUUUCUCUGGGAACGGAUAAAAAAGGUUGUUGGAGUUAAUUUGUUAGAAACCACUUAUAUCUGGUAAAAAGGAAAAAAAAAAGAUUGUGCACUAGUAUAAAUUUAACUCGAUUUGGUUGCGCGCGUUCUUCGCUUGCAGAGUGAAGGCGAACUGCUUGCUGAAAAGGGAUGUGUUGGACAUCUUAUAGGACAGGUAAAUAAAUGGCACUCCAACUACUACACUCGAGGGGAAAAUAUGUUGUGAUGUUUCUUGAUCAUAAUCAGAAUAUGUAAAGCCCUAACGUCUUCUUUUGUUGUUUUUGAUUUGCUUAUGUGGUGUUGCAUGCAUGCAGGAUGACGAAUUGUGUGAAGUUACAGAGGAUACGAUGCUUCCAGGAGACAAGUAGAAAGGGAAAUGUCACAUUACAUCAGGGGCAUUACAUAACACUCAAAUUACACGGAUUGAUGUAGGUGAAGGAAAGGGAAAGUUAGUUAUAGAAGAAGGCAAACGAUGUUCCUACCUUUUUUUUUUAGAAACACAGAAAUGCUGUUACUUAUACUAUAUGUACCUAUAUUGUUUUAUAUUUAUCGCAAGAUACCUAUAGGGGCUCAAUAAGAGCCGGACUGAAAUACUAUAUGAUUUUGAGCUAAAUAAAUAUAGGGGCUGAGUUGGAUUGUGAAGGAGAUAUGAUGGUCGUGAUCCGUUACCAUCCCUAGAUACAUAUGAUGCCAUGUAUAGAGACGGACUGAGAUUGGUGGUACCUAGGUGAUUGGAAUUCAGAAGAAAAUUCCAUGCAACACAGCUGUAAAUUUAGGGCCUGUUUGGAGUGGGGUGCUAAAAUUUAGCACCCCACUUUUAGCCCCAUUUUAGCACCUAGGUUCCCAAACAGGGGUGCUAAAGGGACGGUGCUAAAAGGUGCAAAAGAUGCUAAAAGUGGUACCCCUGUCCACAAUUUCCCAUCGUUGCCCCCCCUCCCUGCACUCCCUCUCUCUUCUCCCCACCACACCCCCGUCGCCCUCCGCCGGCCACGCCGCCACGUCGCGCAACUCUCUUCCUCCCCAACCUCCCACGCCUCCCACCUCGCUCCUCCGCCGCUGCCACAUCCCACUCUCAACGAGGAAGCCACAGGCGAGCCCCUUCUGCGCCGCCUGCGCAUCCAGGAAGGGAUGGGGCAACCUGGGCCGGCCGCCACCCAUCCAUCCUCCCCGCACUGCCGCAUCCCACUCCCGGCGAGGCCUCCGCGGGCAAGCCUCUCCUGCGCCGUGUGCGGCAUGAGCGCCUCGUCCUCGCCGGAGCCGAUGGAUUCGAUGGAUCUCAGCUCGCCGGACGCCGCCACUGCCAUGGCUGCCUGGGGCGCUGAUUCCAUCGGGUUGCAGUGGGCGUAGGGGAAGGCAGGUGAGGCCCACAGCGCCGGUCGAGGAAGUGCCUGCGCGGGGCGGCGAGCUCGGCCGCGGCGGGCGCGGCGCGGGGCAAAAGCAGCGCUCGGAAUAGGCCCGGCCAUGCCUGGAGCGCGCGCUGUGCUAGGCCUCUGCCACAGCCGGCCCUCGAAUUCGCCGGAUUGGAGGCCUUGGUUGCCGAAUUGGAGGCGAAGAGCUCGGAGCUGCAAGCGAAGAUGGCCGAAUUGGAGAAGCAAUUGGAGGUGGCGAGGGCGGCGGUGAGGUUUGUAAUGGCAAGAAGGAUCUUGAGAUUGGGAUACCGAAGGAAGAAGUUGAGGAGGGGUAAAAGAGAGGAGGGAAACGAGGGGUGAAUAAGUCUUUUGUCAACACAAGUGCUAAAGUUUAGCCUAGUUCCCAAACAGUCCAAGGGACUAAACUUUAGCCCUCCAUUUGAGAGGGCUAAACUUUAGCACUGAUUCCAAACAGGACCUUAGUUUCAUAUAUAUGAAUGCCACGUGUCUUAUGCUAUCCAGUUACAAGCCAAGCCGGUCUUAUUAAAUCAUUCUCCUACAAAUGCAAAACCACCCCCUGGUUUGCAUGAGCUUCGAUAUACAACAUGAAUAAAACUCCAUGUUGCCACAAACAAGUAAUAGUGUGAAUCACAUGCUUCCCCAUUAAACUAUCCUGCAGUCUUGCAACAUCGGCAAAAACAGAGGAUGCCAUAAAUAAUGUCUUUCUUGAAUCAACUUAUAAUGUGAUGUGAUGUGGUUUGAGCAAGCAAGUGAAGGGGUGAUGGUUGUUGUACUAACCUAUUCCUAAAGGUCUAUUUGGAUCCCAUAGCUAAUGGGUGAAAAUGCUAAAUUGUAGCACCUUUAUGUAUUAGCCUAUCCAAAUGGGAGGUCUAAACUUUAGCCCACCUCCAAAAAGUGCAAAAGCAUUAGCCGGUAGAGAGGAGCUAAUGGAUGCUAAAGACUUGUGAAAAAGAAAAAAAUAGGAGAGAGAAAGGAAGGAGGUGAGUAGAUAAAAGUGACUUUUCAUGAGUUUUAGAUCUAUCCAUUAGCCAUGUCUCCAAACAUGAGUGCUAAUGAGUGGAAGUGCUGAACUUUAGCCCUGCUAAACUUUAGCAAUAACACAUCAAACCCACCUAAGUAAUUUUUAUCCACCAUGCAAUGCCGACCGUCCUCCCCUCCCCCCAUCAUGCGCUGUAUGUCUGCACAGAGCACUCGAUCAUCACAAUCUGUUUUUGCUUUGCGCACACAUUACGUUACGCAUGGCUCAUCAUCAUCACAUUCAUGUUCAAGCAAGGAGUGAAAUCUAAUCCAAUGAUCGUAACGAUGGUAAUGUCACACCACGCAGUUCAGUGUGCACCUCUCCUCCCCUUCUAUCUUGUACCUUCUUCGUCAUCGUGCCGUCGUCGUGGCGGUCGAGAAGAACACAAACUCUAGUCGUCAGCACUCAGCAGCUCACUGAUCAGCAACGGAUCGGAAAGGAAGAUGAAGCUUGGGUGGCGCCGUACAAGAAUUCCAGCCAGGGCUGCUGCUAAGCCGCUGGUGUUAUGGGCAGCGUCGGCCAUCUGCUCUGCCCUGGUCGCCGUGCUGCUCGCCUCCAGAUCAUUCUACAUCCAACAGCAACCUGACACCUCCACCGGGGCGGCGGAAGAGGGCCGGCACCACCACCGGCGCCGAGCCUGCGAGGAGCAUGCCAGAUGGGUGGCCAGGAUGGCGUCCCUGCACAACGCCUCCCUGGUCCUCACCGUCGACCGCAGGGGCUGCGCCAACUUUACCAGCGUGCAGCAGGCCGUCGACGCCGUGCCCGACCACGCGGCGGCGGCGGCGGCGCGCACGCUGAUCGCCGUCGACGCGGGAGUCUACGCGGAGAAGGUGGUGGUUUGGGGCAACAAGACGGGAGUCACGCUCCAGGGCCGCGGCAACCUCGAGACCGCCGUGGCGUGGAACGCCACCGCCAACUCCAGCGGCGGCAGCACCUCCGCCAGCGCCACCUUCGCCGUCCUCGCCGCCGGCUUCGUUGCCUACAACCUCAGCGUCCAGAACACCGCCCGCCCCGCCGCCCCGGGGGACGCCGGCGGCCAGGCGGUGGCGCUCCGCGUCGCUGCCGACCAGGCGGCCUUCUACUGGUGCGGCUUCUACGGGUCGCAGGACACGCUGCUGGACGAGCGCGGCCGCCACCUGUUCCGGGAGUGCUACGUCGAGGGUUCCAUCGACUUCAUCUUCGGCAACGCGCGGUCCCUCUACCUCGGCUGCACCAUCAGCUCCGUCGCCGACGCCGGCGCCGGCGGCGUCACGGGGAGCGUCACGGCGCAGGGCCGCGCCUCGCCGGACGAGAGGACUGGGUUUGCGUUCGUGCUCUGCAGCGUCGUGGGCACGGGGCGGGUGUGGCUGGGCAGGCCGUGGGGCGCCUACGCCACCGUCGUCUUCGCCAGGACGUACCUCGCCGACGUCGUCGCGCCCGGGGGAUGGGACGACUGGAACGACCCCGCCAGGCGGCAGUCGGUGUUCUUCGGCGAGUACGACUGCACGGGCCCCGGCGCAGCCGCGCAGAGGGUGGCGUACGCGAGGCAGCUGGACGAACGGCAGGCCGCGCCGUUCAUGGACGCCUCCUACAUCGACGGCGGCCAGUGGGCGGUGCCCCCUCUGCUUCCGCCGGUGCAAGGCGACGACGUCAUAUCUGCUGAAUACGCCAACACCAUGGCCGCCGGCAGCAUGUAAAUGUACUGUACUAUACUAGUACUACCCAAAUUCAGUCUGCAGCUGCGAUACAGAGUCAACCAUGAGCAAGGUGAAAAGGCCACUGCUCGGUCGCGUGUCCCAAGGCCAAGGAUCCGCCGCCGCCAACCUCACCGCCAGCCGCCGCAUCGGCAUUGUUUCCGAACACAAACUCGCCCCCGCUCUUGGCCACUUCAUCGUCUCGUGUGUCGUCGUUCCUGCUCGCGCCGCCGCUGCCACAGCCACCGCCUUCCUCCGUGAUGGGGAUGCGCCCACCGUCAAGAAGCGACAGGCCAUCAUUGCGCGCUCGCACCGGGCGCCGCACCGUCCAGGACGGCGGCGACGAGGAGGUCGAUCCCGUUCCCGGCGAGACGAGGAUGGGGCUCCCCGGCUGCAGCUGGUACGCGUUGAGGAGGAGGCCCUCCGCGCCGCCGCCCGAGCAGUGCUGCUGCUGCCUGUCUGCCGCCGCGACCGGGGGGCAGAGGAAGCGGGCUAAGGGGACUUCCGGCGAGGACGGCGUGGUGGUGGCCAGCAGGUGCGGGCUGCAGCCGGGCUCCGGCGGUGGCGUGAGCGGCGCGGUGGACGGCUCGGUGUGCCCCGCGGAGAAGGCCGGCGGCGACACCAGCUGCUGCGGCGACCGGGCGUACGGGCCGACGGCGAAGAUGGAGGCCGUGGGUGAGCUGUAGCAGCUGCUGAUGCCGGCGUUCAGUAGGAGCACCGUGGGCGACGGCGACCCCGAGGUGAGCGCGGACGACGCGGGCGACGGCGGUGGCGCCACGAACGCCACCACAGGCUGCGGCGCGUGGCGGGCGUAGUGGUGUAAGCUGCUGGAGCCGGGCGCCGCCUGCUCGGCGCCCGUCUCCGGCGACGCGUCGAAGAUGCGUUGCGGGUGGCCGUGGGGCCGGAAGCACGCGAGCUUCGCCUUGAGGCGCGACCACCAUCGCGUCUUCUUCUGCAUGCCAUCAUUCCGAAGUUCAGGCCCAGAGCAAACAGACAACUCAAAUGAUCAGAAUUCAGAAGGAUGUAGCUGGAAGGAAUCCUUCCGUAAUCAAACAAGUAAGACGACAGAUAGCACAACAACGUCACGUACGGUGGCGUGGUCGUCGUCGUCGUCGUCGUCGUCGUCAAGCUGGUGGCGGAGGUGCUGGUGGCCCGUGCUGGUUGUUCUCGCGGCGGCGGCGAGGACGAUGGCCGCGGCGUUCGCCGUGUCAUCAUCCUGCUGCCGCUGCAUCCUUUUCCCAAUUCCCUUUCUGCUCAAUAAAUCAAUCGAUGUCGAUGGAUCAGCCUUUUGCUUAAUUGUACGUACGUAUGUAUCACGAACAAACGAAGCUCGCUAGGCUGAUGGUCUGAUGGACGACCAUGGAUGGAGAAGCUCCCUAGGCUCAAGCUAAGGAAGAAAGACGACAGGACUAAUACAUGGCCGGACAGGACGAAGACCUGAGAAUGAGAAGACGAAAGGAACUAUGGCCCGGGACGCGUCACGCCAUGGCGUGGUGGGAAGGCAGCCGAGAUGAUCUUUCCUAGCUCCUCCGUCCGACGGAAUCCAACCCAAUCCAACAAUCCAAUCCAAUCUUUUGACUCCAUUGUUGACCACGGAGCUAGCGAGAGUCAGUCAAGAACGCACUUACCGAUCGUCCAAUUAGCGACGAGAACGGGAGGACACUAUGGACUUGUUCAUCCAUUUGUCCCUGUCAAUCCAGGAUUCCAAGUCCUCGGACGGCUCCUCGUGGGCUCGUGCGGCUUGGGCGCCCCCGCCACGUGAAAGCAGAAGCGUGUCAUCGUCAUGGACGACACCUCCGCGCACGGGACAAACGUUAGACUCGGGCAAAUAAGGGUCCCGAUCGAUUGGAUGUCCGAACCCAAUCAACCUCCAAGGCUCCAAUCAAUAAUAUCUGUGCUCGGCUCGCACGGUCCGUCACGGCACGCGGACGUCCAUGUCCGUGUCGCAGCUCUAGCAUGACCUCACUACUCGUGCAGCCUCCUGUGAUAGCAUUUUUCUUUUCUUUUCAUUUUUUUUAAAACUAGAAUCGUGCCCGUGCAUUGCUAUAGCAACAAAAAAUCUAAUUCAUUCAUAAAUAAAAAAUCUAAAUCAUUCAUACGGAAGUGCACAACAUGUCAAAAUGAAAUAAAAUUAACUCAGGCAAUAUGCAUAACACUAAUGAUCAAUGUUUGGGUCAGUCAAUAUAUCAACUCUACAUCUAAACAGGCUAGCUUCCAAAUGCUGAAAACUAAAUGUUUUAUUUAGGUGUGGAUAUAACAGUACCAAGCAUCCAUGUGUAGAUGUUAUAGUCGUUAUGGUUGUAUGGUUGGUACGAAUAUGGCCUGUGCAGCCAAUCGCUUAGUGUCAUCCGGUCUCAUGCUAUCCAAGAAUGCUGUGGAGUCUCCGUCUUCAAAAUUGUUUCUCAAGAAUUAGACUUAUAACCAACGAAACAAUGUCAGUUCUAGAAUGGUGCACUAAAAACAACAAUAAGUAUUCUUCCAGGAUAUUUCACCAUGGAUUUGAAGCCAUUUGAAAAAUACACAAGCCAUGCGUGAAUUCUUUUGACAUUUACUUUUGAAACGUCUGUUCUUGGAUCAUAAAAAACCAUGAAAUUUAACACCAUGUUUCAAUUGAAUUUUGCACAUUAAUUGUCUCCUCGGUGGAAUAACCAUAUGAUAUUUACUCGUAAGAAUUACACUGUACAUUAUAUUCCUAGGGAGAUUCGAGAAAAGUAAUAGGAAAACCAACUGCUUGUGUUCUUCUGUACCAGUGAAGCAUUGCAAUAUAACGUGCAUAAGUAUUUAGAUUCAUGUAAUUAUGGUGCAAACAAUAUUAAAUGUCAUUGCAAUUGCUUAUUAUUUUGGUGUCAGGUGACAGAAAGGGCAAGCAUCCUUUUUGCACUCGCUGGAGCCAUGGGAUAUCAAUUAAUAUCUUUCGAUGCAUAGACAUGUAAGAUCCUUAGUUACAUAGUAGAAAAUAGGUACAAUUAUAACUAUACCACGAGUACUCACACCCUGCGGUGGCUGACCCUCCACAGCACGGGAGCUCAGUGUUUGUACAUAGGAGUAGAAAAUACCUUCGUCCUCAAAAUUCAUAAACAAGUAAAUCUACAAUGUAACCUGAAAUCCAUGAAAGUAGCAAUACAUCAGGGGAAAUAAAAAGAAACUGCAAUUUCUUUCACCUGUCAAGUGUGCUGUGGUAGGGGUUUAAACAAUGAAAUUUCUGGUACAUACUUUCAGUACUAAUGCAGCUACAUUUUUAUUUGGUUCAUUUUUAUUCAGUACUCAUGCUUGCUUUUACAAAGUUAAGGAAGAGAUCAGAGCAUGGCAAAUAUUAGCAGAUCACAUAUGUGAAGUUAAAAAUGGUCUUCGUAGCAAAAGAAAAAGUAAAGAUUAAAACACACCAUUUGAUUGACUAAGAAUUCUAGCAUUCUAUAAGACUCUAGCUCAAACGGCAACCACAAACUAAACUGCUAUGAAUCAAAAUAAUUCAGAACACACAGUCUAAAAGGGUGAGUUGAAGAGUGCCAGCAAGAAUCCGACGCCCUCAAGCAGUAUGCACCUUCUCAACUUGGUCGCCGAAGAACAACUCUGCUUUAGCUUGUUCCCACCGGCCCUUCCUGCUCUGACUGAGACUGUCCAUUCCUCAUCCCUUCUUGUUACCACCGCUCCCUUCUGUCGCUCAAUGUUUGACAGUGCAAAUUGCUUGUGCCAGGUUCAUCAUUAUUCAGUUCUUUUGGGCCCUUACCUACCAGAAACAAUAUUGACAAGAAAAGAAUCGUGUUUAUAUAAGAAAUCAAGCAAAAGCAUGGGAGAAUGUCACAAGCAUAUAGAUGAAAUGAGGCCUAUAAUUAGACAAAACUACCAUGAACGACAAUUCUUUCAAGUUCUGAGGAGUUUCAGAGCAUUUGGAAGAUUAGCAAAGUAUAUUGAUCCAAACAUAUAUUAUCAUUAUCAGUCAUUAGGCAAUCAAAAUUAGCCACUGCUGUGCAUAGUACCAAGUCUUAGUUAAGCAAUAAGAAAUGUGCAAGCAUAGUAACCACAGCUCUUCAUUUCCUGAUCAAGAGAACGAAAUCAAAGCAUAAGAUAGAAUAUGGUAACGAAGGCAAUCAACAUCAUAGACUGAAAGAAUGAUUUAUAAGCUUGAAGUGGCAUUUCAUCAAACACUUAAGUGCAAGCAUUAGAAGGAUAGACCGUCAAGCACAGCAUAUCACCUUGGGUGUCUCGAGAAUGACCUGAUUGACAUGGAGCAGUAAGCACAGCAAAAUCACCUCGACGUGGCGAGCUUGGCUAUUUUGGUGGACGGCAAGCACAGAGCAGCAAACAAGGGCGACGGCGUCCUUCUGCCUUGCUGGCACUGAUGCCUUAGCGAGCUCCAUGGUGGUGUGGCGGAUGUACGUCCUCAGGCAUGGCUAGCGUGGCCAGGUCAACGCGAGGCAGACGCCCGUCGGUGCCUGUGAGGACCUUCUAUCGAUGGCUUCGCUGGAGAUGGCAGAGAGGGAGGGGGCAGUGGGGCUUACAUGAAGAUGACCCAUCCGCCGAGCAGGCUGUCGGCGUGGCAGGCGGUGAGGCGGAGGCGCGGGCUUGGCGAAGGAGAGGAAAGAGGGGCGGCGGCGGGCUUGUCGCAGGGGAGGGCGGCGCGCGGCGGCGGCCAUGGGGUGGGAUUUGGGGCAGCGACCGCAGUGUCGCCCUUGGAUGCGGAGGCGGCGGCGGGCUUGGCGGCGGAGGAGGUCGCGGGCAUGGGAGCGACGGCGGCGGCGGGGAUGGCCGGCUUGGGGGCGGAGGAGGCGGCCUGCUUGGUCGUCUCUAGGAGGCGCUUCCACAUGGGUGCCAAGGCGACGGUCGGAGAAGCCGCCGCCGCCGGUGCGUGAUGCGGCAGCAGCUUCCGGCGGGCGCGCUUCGUUGGACGCGGGGGCCGGGGUGGGGUCGCUGGCGUGGCGCGGGUGGGCGAGGAGGUGCGCGUGCGGGAAUGGCGGCGGCGGCAGCGUGGGGAGGAAGAUGCGGACGAAGACGGGGAGGGUGGAGGGGGAAACAGGAGGCGGAACGGGACUGACCGUAAAAACGUCCCCCUCUGAUUGUUUUAGCUGUACAGAAGAGAAAGACACUCAAAGGUAUAUCAUUUCUGAUGUAUACUCCCUCUAUUCCAAGUUAAACUUCAGAUGGUUUGAUUUGGAACAAAGUUUGACAAAUCUAUGUAAAAAGUGGUAACACACAAAUAACAGUAUCGUAUUUCCAAUCCUCUAGUUGUGAGGCUACCAACAAGAGUUCAAACCCUGGAUCUCACAUAAAAAUAGACUCCUUGCUGUUAUAUUGUGCCUUCAGAGUCCGAGACGAAGUUAGGAUUGAAGUAUAGAGGGAGCCAAUAUAGUAGUGAACAUGCCUUAGGAUCCGAACAUCGGAUUAACUUUUAGGGCCUGUUUGUUUGAGUGCUUAUGCAUAAGCAACUUAAAAUAAGCAAAUAAGUUGCUUAUGAAACCAAUCACUUUUGCUUAUAGGGUUGCUUAUGAGGUUGCUUAUUAUAAGCAAAUAAGCAACUCUUGGGUUGCUUAUGGGGAGUAAAAGGUGCACUUUACAUCUCCUGCCCUCAUUCAAUGCACCCUACCCUCCUCUCUCUCCCCCCUCUCCCGUCACCGAGCACCACUCCCCUGCCUCCGCGCCGCCGGCCUCCGCGCCACCCGCUGCCCCCGGCUGCCGUGCCACCCGCCGCCGCUCCCGCUCGCUGCUGCCUCCGCGCCGCCCGCCUCCCCGCCUCCUCGCCGCUCGCCGCCGCUCCCGCCCGCCGCCCGCCUCCACGCCAUCCGCCGCCGUGCUGAUCCACCCUGGUUCUAGGGCUUGGAGGCCGGGAUCGGGUAGUGCAGGAAGAAGAAGGGUGGGGAGGCAAAUUGGAGGGUAGCAACACAAGAGGCAAAUAUGACAAUGUCCAUCUCAUAAAGCAAGGGUAUCCAAACAGCUUAGACUAAAAAUAAGCAACUCCAAAUAAACACCUUUGCAUCUUACCUUUCAUCCAAAGAGGGCCUGAGAGCAACUCAAACCAAACAGACCCUUUUUCAUGAGCUCCAAGAGGGCCUGAGAGCUGUCAGUAGUGUCGGGGCCAGCUGUCACAUGAUAGCAUUUCCAUUGCAAAUAGUGUUUCAUACGUGGUGGUGAGUCAGGCCUUGUUUAGUUGGUCAAAUUGGGAGGUGCCAAAUUACUGUGCUGGCACUGUAGCACACUGUAGCGUUUCGUUUGUAUUUGUGAAUUAUUGUCCAAACAUUAACUAAUUAGGCUCAAAAGAUUCGUCUCGCAAAGUACAACAAAACUGUGCAAUUAGUUUUUAAUUUCAUCUACAUUUAGUACUCCAUGCAUGUACCGCAAGUUUGAUGUGAUGGGGAAUCUUCUUUUUGCAUAGUGGCAAAGUUGGGAGUUGGGGGUGAAACAAGAGCUCCUAUGGUUUCAGUAAAAGUGGCAUCAGUACUUUGCAUCCUACCUUUCAUCCUGUUUCCCCAACGUCUGAAGACGAAAAGGUAAUGGGCACGGGGCCACACAUCUCCUUCUCGUCUCUCUAACCAAGCAAGGGAUCGGGGUACGGGACCCACCCCACCCCCACCAUAAAGAAAAAGAGGACAGGUCCUCUCACUCCCACUGGGGCGUAGAAUCAUCGUCCUUGAUCCGUCAGAGCGUCUCCGGCAGGCAUUAAAGAAUUGGGAGGGAGAGCGGUCGUCAACGCCGGCGCCGGUGGAGCAAAUAUCUGUUGCUGAUCAACACAGAUACUACUCACGAAGCUGCUGUACCAGGAGGCAUCCAUGCAGAUACUAUGCGGGCCAGGAUAUCAUGUGGGCAGAUUGAUUUAUAUUUUGCAGUGCUCAGAUCCUCGGAGAACGAUCUCAGGUCUCAAAUAACAACAUUCUUAAACACGACGCAGGAAAGAACUUGAAGAACAGGAUUUGGUUUGCCGAUUCAGACACACAUAGGAAACCAUGGCUAUCAUGCGCGGCGGAUCGAUUAGCACAGCAGCCGGCGAAAUGACUGGAUCCGCGUCCGGAUCCGAUCAGUAGUCGUCGUCGUAGCCGCCGCCGUAAUCGUCGUAGCCGCCCCCGUAGCCGCCGCCGCCGCCGUACGAGUCCUCCCUCUCCAGCUUCUCCUCCACCCUCUCCGAGACGCGCUCCUCCAACUUGUUCUCCAGCAAGCUCGCCCCGCCGGCCAGCGCCAGGCCCCCGAGCACGCCCGCCGCCGCGCCGACGGCCAACCCCGUCC